Molecule: long non-coding RNA, 46730 nt
Filed under: Solanum lycopersicum (tomato)
Lineage: Eukaryota; Viridiplantae; Streptophyta; Magnoliopsida; Solanales; Solanaceae
Description: long non-coding RNA (SLYC_LNC000907)
Source: RNAcentral
CGUUGAAUAAUCAGUGUAGCGCGCGUGCGGCCCAUAACAUCUAAGGGCAUCACAGACCUGUUAUUGCCUCAAACAUUCGCGGCCUAAAAGGCCGUAGUCCCUCUAAGAAGCUGGCCGCGAAGGGAUACCUCCGCAUAGCUAGUUAGCAGGAUGAGGUCUCAUUCGUUAACGGAAUUAACCAGACAUAUCGCUUCACCAACUAAGAACGACCAUGCACCACCAGCAGUAGAAUGAAGAAAGAGCUCUCAGUGUGUCAAUCCUUACUAUGUUUGGACCUUGUAAGUUUCCCCGUGUUGAGCCAAAUAAAGCCGCAGGCUCCACUUCUGGUGGUGCCAUUUCGUCAUGCCAUGCCACGCCCGACGUCAUUCAACCUUGUUUGCCGUUCAAGGGCUAUGAUGGCAUGCGAUGACCAACUUCGUUUGAUCGUGUGUGGUGUCCAAGGGCCAUGAUGGAAUGCCACGCCCGACGAUGUCGACCGUGCAUACUGCCCAAAGGAGAUGAUGGCAUUCCAUGCCCGACGUCGUUCGACCGUGUUUGCCGUCCAAGGGCGACGAUGGAAAGCCACGCCCGACGCCGUCCGACCGUUUGUGCUGCCCAAAGGUGAUGAUGGCAUGCCAUGCCUAGCGUCGUUCGACCGUGUGUGCUUUCCAAAGAUGGUGAUAGCAUAUCGCGCUCGACGUCGUUCGAUCGUGUGUGCUGCUCCAAGGCGGUGAUGUCAUGCCAUGCCCGAUGUCUUUCGACUGUGUGUGCUGCGAUAAGGCGAUGCUGGCAUACCACGCCCGACGUUGUUCGACCGUGUGUGCUGCCCAAAGGUGAUGAUGGCAUGCCAUCCCCGACGUCGUUUGGCCGUUUGUGCUGCCCAAAGGCGAUAAUUGCAUGCCACGCCCGACGAAGUUCGACUAUUUGUGCUGCCCAAAGGAGAUGAUGGCAUUACACGCCCGACGUCGUUCGACUGUGUGUGCUGUCCAAAGGCGGUGAUGGCAUGUCACGCCCUACGUCGUUUGACCGUGUGUGCUGUCCAGAGGCGGUGAUUUCAUGCCACGCCCGACGUCUGUCGACCGUGUGUGCGGCCCAAAGGCAAUGAUGACAUGCCCUACCUAACAUCAUUCGAUCGUGUGUGCUGUCCAAAGGCGGUGAUGGCAUGUCACACUUGACGUCGUUCGAUCGUGUUUGUCGUCCAUAGGCUAUGAUGGCAUGCCACGCCUGAUGUCGUUCGACCGUGUGUGCUACCCAAAGGCGAUGAUGGCAUGCCAUGGCCGACGUCGUUCGACCGUGUGUGUUGUCCAAAGGCGGUGAUGUCAUGCCAUGCCCGAUGUAGUCCUACUGUGUGUGCUGUCCAAGGGCGGUGAUGUCAUGCCACGCCAAACGUCAUCCGACCAUGUGUGCUAUCCAAGGCGGUGAUGGCAUACCACGCCCGACGUCGUCUGACCGUCUGUGCUGCCGAAAGGCGAUGAUAGCAUGACCAUCCCAACGUCGUCCUUCCGUGUGUGCUGUCCCUAGGCGUUGAUGGCAUGCCACUCUCUACGUUGUCGACCAUGUUUCCCGUCCAAGGGCGAUGAUGGCAUGCCCCGCUCGACGCCGUCCAACUGUGUCAGCUAGUCCAAAGGCGAUGAUGGCAUGCCACGCCCGACGUCGUUCCACCUUGUGUGUUGUCUAAAGGCGGUGAUGUCAUGUUACACGUGAUGUCGUUCUACGGUGUGUGUUCUACAAAGGCGGUGAUGUCAUGCCACGCCCAAAGUUGCCGACCGUGCGAGCAGUUUAAGGGCGGUGAUGUCAUGCCACACCUGACGUUAACGACCGUGUGUGUUGUCUAAGGGCGGUGAUGUCAUGCCAUGCUUGAAUUUGUCUGAUCGUGCGUGCACUACAAGGGCAGUGAUUUCAUGCCAUGGCAGACGUCGUUCGACCGCAUGUGCUGUCCAAGGGCGAUGAUGUAAUGUUACGCCCGACGACGGAUGAUAGUUUGUGCUGUCCAAGGGCGAUGAUGGAAUGCCACACCCGAAGCCGUCCGACUGUCUGUGCUGCCCAAAGGAGAUGAUGGCAUGCCACGCCCGACGUCAUUUUACGGUGUUUGCCGUCCAAGGGAGAUGAUGGCAUGCCACACCCGACGAUGUCGACCGUGCGUACUGCCCAAAGGAGAUGAUGGCAUUCCACGCCCGACAUCGUUCGACCGUGUUUGCCGUUCAAGGGCGACGAUGGCAUGCCACGCCCAACGAUGUCGAUCGUGCGUACUGCCCAAAAGAGAUGAUGGCAUUCCACGCCCGACAUUGUUCGACCGUGUUUGCCGUCCAAAGGCAACGAUGGCAUGCCACGCCCGAUGCCGUCCGAUUGUUUGAGCUUCCAAAAGGUGAUGAUGGCCUGCCAUGCCCAGCGUCGUUCGACCGUGUGUGCAGUCCAAUGGCAGUGAUGGCAUGUCACGCCCGACGUAGUUUGACGGUAUGUGUUGUCUAAAGGCGGUGAUGUCAUGCCACGCCCGACGUCUUUCGACUAUGUGUGCUGCCUUAAGGCGAUGCUGGCAUGCCAUGCCAGACGUCAUUCGACCGUUCGUGCUGCCCAAAGGUGAUGAUGGCAUACCACGCCCGACGUCGUUCGACCGUGUGUGCUGCCCAAAGGCGAUGAUGGUAUGCCACGCCCGACGUAGUUUGACCGUGUGUGCUGCCCAAAAGAGAUGAUGGCAUUACACGCCCAACGUCGUUCGACCAUCUGUGCAGUCCAAAGGCAGUGAUGGCAUGUCACGCCCGACGUCGUUUGACCGUGUGUACUGUCCAAAGGCGGUGAUGUCAUGCCAAGCCCAACGUCUUUUGACCGUGUGUGCGGCCCAAAGGCGAUGAUGACAUGUCCUACCUGACGUCAUUCAACCGUGUGUGCUAUCCAAAGGCGGUGAUGGCAUGUCACACUUGACGUCGUUCGACCGUGUUUGCCAUCCAUAGGCUAUGAUGGCAUGCCUCGCCCGACAUCGUUCGACCGUGUGUGCUGCCCAAAAGCGAGGAUGGCAAGCCACGGCCGACGUUGUUCGACCGUAUGUGCUGUCCAAAGGUGGUGAUGUCAUGCCACGCCCGACGUAGUCCUACCGUGUGUGCUGUCCAAGGGCGGUGAUGGUAUGCCACGCCCAACAUCAUCCGACCAUGUGUGCUGUCCAAGGGCGGUGAUGGCAUGUUUCGCCCGACGUCGUCUGACCAUCUGUGCUGUCGAAAGGCGAUGAUAGCAUGACACACCCUACAUCGUCCUUCAAUGUGUGCUGUCCCUAGGUGUUGAUGGCAUGCAACGCUCUAUGUUGUUGACCAUGUUUCCCGUCCAGGGGCGAUGAGGCAUGCCACGACUGACGCCGUCCGACUGUGUCUGCUAGUCCAAAGGCGAUGAUGGCAUGCCACGCCCGACGUCAUUCCACCGUGUGUGUUUUCUAAAGGCGGUGAUGUCAUGUCACGCCAGACGUUGUUCUACCGUGUGUGCUGUCCAAAGGCGGUGAUGUCAUGCCACGCCCGACGUUGCCGACCGUGCCAGCAGUCCAAGGGCGGUGAUUUCAUGCCACGCCCGAAGUCGUUUGACCAUUUGUUCUGCCUUAUGGCGAUGAUGGCAUGCCAUGCUCGACGUCGUUCAACCGUCUGUGCCUACCCCAAGGCGGUGAUGUCAUGCCACGCCUGACGUCGUUAGACCGUGUGUGCUGUCCAAAAGCGGUAAUGUCCUGCCACGCCUGACAUCGUUUGACCAUUUGUGCUGCCUUGAUGGCAUGCCACGCCCGACAUCGUUCGACCGUGUGUGUUGUACAAAGGCAGUGAUGGCAUGUCACGCUCGACGUUGUUCCACUAUGUGUGCUGUCCAAAGGCGGUGAUGUCAUGCCAAGCCCAACGUCUUUUGACCGUGUGUGCGGCCCAAAGGCGAUGAUGACAUGUCCUACCUGACGUCAUUCAACCGUGUGUGCUAUCCAAAGGCGGUGAUGGCAUGUCACACUUGACGUCGUUCGACCGUGUUUGCCAUCCAUAGGCUAUGAUGGCAUGCCUCGCCCGACAUCGUUCGACCGUGUGUGCUGCCCAAAAGCGAGGAUGGCAAGCCACGGCCGACGUUGUUCGACCGUAUGUGCUGUUCAAAGGUGGUGAUGUCAUGCCACGCCCGACGUAGUCCUACCGUGUGUGCUGUCCAAGGGCGGUGAUGGUAUGCCACGCCCAACAUCAUCCGACCAUGUGUGCUGUCCAAGGGCGGUGAUGGCAUGUUUCGCCCGACGUCGUCUGACCAUCUGUGCUGUCGAAAGGCGAUGAUAGCAUGACACACCCUACAUCGUCCUUCAAUGUGUGCUGUCCCUAGGUGUUGAUGGCAUGCAACGCUCUAUGUUGUUGACCAUGUUUCCCGUCCAGGGGCGAUGAGGCAUGCCACGACUGACGCCGUCCGACUGUGUCUGCUAGUCCAAAGGCGAUGAUGGCAUGCCACGCCCGACGUCAUUCCACCGUGUGUGUUUUCUAAAGGCGGUGAUGUCAUGUCACGCCAGACGUUGUUCUACCGUGUGUGCUGUCCAAAGGCGGUGAUGUCAUGCCACGCCCGACGUUGCCGACCGUGCCAGCAGUCCAAGGGCGGUGAUUUCAUGCCACGCCCGAAGUCGUUUGACCAUUUGUUCUGCCUUAUGGCGAUGAUGGCAUGCCAUGCUCGACGUCGUUCAACCGUCUGUGCCUACCCCAAGGCGGUGAUGUCAUGCCACGCCUGACGUCGUUAGACCGUGUGUGCUGUCCAAAAGCGGUAAUGUCCUGCCACGCCUGACAUCGUUUGACCAUUUGUGCUGCCUUGAUGGCAUGCCACGCCCGACAUCGUUCGACCGUGUGUGUUGUACAAAGGCAGUGAUGGCAUGUCACGCUCGACGUUGUUCCACUAUGUGUGCUGUCCAAAGGCGGUGAUGUCAUGCCACGCCCCACGUCGUUCAACUGUGUGUGCUGCCCAAAGGCGAUGAUGGCAUGCCACGCCCGACAUAGUCCGACCGUGUGUGCUGUCCAAGGGUAGUGAUGUCAUGCCAUGCCCGACGUCGUCCGACCGUACGUGCAGUCCAAGGGCGGUGAUGUCAUGCCAUGCCCAACAUUGUUCGAUCGUGUGUUAUGUCCAAGGGAAGUGAUGUCAAGCCACGCCCGACGUUGUCUGACCGUGUGUGCUGUCCAAGGGCAGUGAUGUCAUGACACACCUGACGUUAACGACCGUGUGUGUUGUCUAAGGGCGGUGAUGUUAUGCCACGCUCGACGUUGCCGACUGUGCUUCCCAAAGGCGAUGAUGGCAUGCCACACCCGACGUAGUUCGACCUUGUGUACUGCCCAAAGGUGAUAAUGGAAUGCCACGCUCGACGUCGUUCGAUCGUGUGUGCCGUACAAAGGCGAUGAUGUAAUGCCACGCCUGACGUAGUCCGACCGUGUGUGCUGCCCAAAGUCGGUGAUGUCAUUAAAUGCCUGACGUCGUUCGACCGUGUGCUGUCCUGUGGCGGUGAUGUCAUGCCACGCCCUACGUUGCCGAUUGUCUCUGCUGUCCAAGGGCGGUGAUGUCAUGCCACGCCCGACGUCGUUCAACCAUGUGUGUUGUCCAAGGGCGGUUAUGUCAUGCCACGCCCGACGUUGUUCAACCAUGUGUGCUGUCCAAGGGCGGUGAUGUCAUGCCAUGCCCGACGUCGUUCUUCCGUGUGUGGUUUCCAAAGACGUUGAUGACAUGCCACACUCUAAGUCGUUCGACCAUGUUUCCCGUCCAAGGGCGAUGAUGGCAUGCCAUGCCCGACGCCGUCUGAGUGUGUCAGCUAGUGCAAAUGUGAUGAUGGCAUGCCACGCCUGACCUCGUUCAACCUUGUUUUUAGUUCAAGGGCUAUGAUGUCAUGCCACACCCGACUUCGUUCGACCGUGUGUGCUGCCCAAAGGCGAUGAUGGCAUUCCACGCCCGAUGUCGUUCGACCGUGUUUACCAUCCAUGGGCUAUAACGGUAUGCCACGCCCAACGUCAUUCGAUCGUGUGUGCUGCCUAAAGGUGAUGAUGGCAUCCCAUGCCCAGCGUCGUUCGACCGUGUGAGCUGUCAAAAGGCGGUGAUGUCAUGCCACGCCCGACGUCUUUCGACUGUGUGUGCUGCCUUAAGGCGAUGCUGGCAUGCCACGCCCGACGUCGUUCGACCGUGUGUGCUGCCCAACGGUGAUGAUGGCAUGCCACGCCCGACGUCGUUCGACCGUUUUUGCUGCCCAAAGGCGAUGAUGGCAUGCCACGCCCGAAGUAGUUCGACCGUGUGUGCUGCCCAAAGGUUAUGUUGGCAUGCCACGCCCGACAUAGUUCGACCGUGUGUGCUACCCUAAGGCGAUAAUGGAAUGCCACGCUUAACGUCGUUCGACCGUGUGUGCUGUCCAAAGGCGAUGAUGGCAUGCCAUGCCCGACGUCGUUCGACCGUGUGUGCUGUACAAAGGCGGUGAUAUCAUGCCACGCCUGAUGUAUCCGACCGUGUGUGCUGCCCAAGGGCGGUGAUGUCAUGCGAUGCCCGACGUCGUCCGACCGUGUGCUGUUUGUUGACACCCACUUUUGACUGACCUUUGACCAUUUUAGGAAUACUAUUCGAUUAAAUAUGUAUUUUAAAUUUUAUAAUUUUUUAACCCACUUUACUUGAAUAUAAUAUGUUUUAGUAUGUUUUACAUUAUAAAGUUAUCGUAAAUAUCAUUAAAAUAUUUUAAAAUUAUUAAUGAAUUUCAAAUGUUAAAAUUUAAAUGAUUUUCAAUUAUAUAAAAAUAUUUUAAUAUAUGUAGUAUUUUAUUUAAAUAGUAAGUCCUACACUUUCCUUAAAUUUUAAAUUCUAGCCUAUUGUAUCGUAAUAUCUUUCAAUUCUAGCUACUCCAAUUAAGUUUUUAUUACAAUCAUAGCCUCUCUCUCAUUUCAAUUCUAGCCAUUUUAAUUGCAAUUGUAGCCAUUCCAUAUGCAAUCCAAUCUGAUUUCAAUAUAUCUCAACUUUUAAUCUCAUCCAUCUAUUUUAUUAAUCGAAUCCUAGACCCUCAUUUCAAAUUAGAUCAACGAUUAUGAUUAAAUCUAUUAUUUUCUCAACACCAAAAGACCCCAAAACCUAAAAUUCUAACCCAUUCUUCUCCCCCUCUGCUUGGCAGCCGCCACACUCUCUCUCUCUCUCUCCAGCGCCGCUCCUCCUUCUUCCUUUUUCCGACCGGCGAGGCCAUCAUCCAUAGGUUGCAACGCCCCUCUGUCGCCACCCCUCUCCAACCGCCUCCCUUCCCGUCUUUCAACCUCUCCCUGCCUCCAUCUUUUCUUUCUCUCCUCUCUUCCCUCUUUCUUUCUCUCCUCUUCUCCUCUUCGACGAAGUCAGGCGACCAGUGGCAGCUCCGGCAAAGUCAACCGCUGGCCACCUCUUCUCCCUUUCUCUUUCUCUCCCGUCGGCCCCGCUUCUCCUCUUUCUCUCCCCUUCUCCUCUCUCCCCUCCCGUCUCUUCUUUUCCCCUUCCUCUUCCCCUUUCUCUCCUCCUUUUGCGGGGAAAACCGGCAGCAAUAUCUCGACGAGACAGCAGCAGUAGCAUCUCGACGAGACAGCAGCAACAGCAGACUCCAGCGAUCCUUAUUUUUUUCCCUUGUUUCCUGCCAGCAAGUUCAGCUAAUGGACGGCGUAGAUUCUAUUGAUAUAUCAAUAUAUUGCGGCUGAUUUUAAGAUGAAUUUCAACAGAUCCGUUUGGAUUAGUUUCUGUUUUAGUUUUUUUAUUUAGAUGUUUAAUUCGCCUAAUGUUAUGCAUGUUUUCAAAAAUAUUUUGCUAUGAGUAUGAAAAUAUAUUGUGAUUUGCUUGAUCCUAUGGACUGUUCUUGUUGAUUUUUUUCUUGAAAAUUCGCAAAGUACAUGUGUUUUAGCCGUGUUGAAAACAAUAUUGUAUGAUAAUCAGUUCCUGCCUCCCAUUAAGUUUGCUAAAUGUGAUUUGGGUAUUGACAUUCUAAGUAUAUAUGGUUUCACUUUGAUUAUUAUUUGUUAUGAUAAGUCUUGUAAUUUUCAAUAGUAGUUGCAGAUUUCUUAUAUCUUUUAAAAAAUUAUUGUCAUUUUAAUUGACUAUUUUAUUUUACCUUGAUUGACUUAAAAUAUAUUCUUAGUUGUUAUAUUUUUAGAAAUGUGAUAUGUAAUUAAGGUAAAAAUGAUUGUACCGAUUUUACUCUUUACUAGUUAAGGAAAAUAAGUUUAAUUCAUCUAUUUUUCCUUAUGAAUAAACAUACUGAUUCCUUACUUGUUUGUAUUAUGGUAAUAAAUUAUUUUAAAAUAUUCAGAUUUGGUCCUCUUAUAUAAUAAGGAAAACAAUAUAUUUAAUUGAUUCCUUUAAGUAUUUCUUUUCCUUAUUUGUUUCCUCCUCCUUACUAUAUAAAUAAGACGCCCUCCCUUCAUCAACGGAUACACUCAUUCAAUCUCAAUCACAAGUUCUCUCAUCACUCUUCCUUCUCUCAUUGCUCUCUUGCUACUCUAACAAUACAUUAAGAUUUCGGUAAUUAUUCAACUGUUCUUUUUCGCUAUAUUGCUACUUUGUUCGAGUAAAAGUUAAUCAAUUUGUUUUGCUUGACUAGUUAGUAUUCUUAACAUUUACACUAUCUUUUCAUUCACACGUUUGUGUAAGCUAUUGUCUUUUUUUUUUAUAUGUAGAAUUUGUCAUUAAACAAUUGCAUAUUGUCUCACCUUGACUAAUAAAUGUGAUUACUUGUGUAGUUAUUUGAUUGCUUUGACAGGUUUCAAAGUUGAUGUUCAAGUUGAAGAUUAACCACGAAGAAAGAUUUAUUUGUUUAUUUGAAUCUCUCUCUCUCUCUCCCUCUCUCUCUCUCUCUCUAUCUAUCUAUCAUAUCUAGGGGAGGGAAAUUUACAUGCCUACUUGUUCAUUGUAAAUUUUUUUAGAAAUCAUGACUAUAGGUUUGUCUUUAACCCCCUAAAUCAUUGUUUGUAGGUGUUAUAAUCUAACCAAUUUUCCAUUUGCUUGACGCUUUUGUUAAUAAGUCUAGAAAAAUAAAAAAACUAGAUUCCAUUAAUUUUUGAAUGUUAAAAUCAAAUCGUAAUAAUUUAGUAGGCUGAUUAGGUGUUUUAAAAAAUGUUAUAACUUUUUAGCAUUGUCAUACCACGCCCGACGUCGUCCUACCGUGUAUGUUGUCCAAGGGCGGUGAUGGCAUGCCACGCCCGACGUCAUCCGACCAUGUGUGUUGUCCAAGGGCGGUGAUGGCAUGCCACGACCGACGUCGUCUGACCGUCUGUGCUGUCAAAAGGAGAUCAUAGCAUGCCACGCUGGACGUCACACGUCUAGAGAACUUGAACAAGCCCCUCCAAGGCUUGAAACCGCCGCCCCUUCACCUGCAGAAACGGCUGUAACUGCCUGUAACGGCUGUAACUUCUUGUAACAGCUGAAACGCCUGACCCUUUGUCUGCUGCCUACUUGGACGCCUGCCCCUUUGCCUACUGGCCGUUUUUGGGCUAUUUGUCCCCUUGCACAGGCUGCUGGCUGCCUAGACGGGUCGUGAUCUGCCUGGGUAUCAGGCAGGUCGUGACAAUAGGCUAUGAUGGCAUGCCACGCCCAAUGUUGUUUGACUGUGUGUGCUUCCCAAAGGCGACAAUGGCAUGCCACGCCCGAUGUCGUUCGACCGUGUGUGCUAUCCAAAAGUAGUGAUGUCAUGCCAAGCCCGACCUAGUCCUACCGUGUGUGCUGUCCAAGGGCGUGAUGGCAUGCCACGCCCAACGUCAUCCGACCAUGUGUCCUAUCCAAGGGCGGUGAUGGCAUGCCACGCCCGACGUCGUCCGACCGUCUGUGCUGCCCAAAGGCGAUGAUAGCAUGACACGCCCGACGUCAUCCUUCCGUGUGUGCUGUCCCUAGGCGUUGAUGGCAUGCAACGCUCUAUGUCGUUCGACUGUGCUUCCCGUCCAAGGGCUACGAUGGCAUGCCAUGCCCAACGCCGUCCGACUGUGUCAGCUAGUCCAAAGGCAAUGAUGGCAUGCCACGCCCGACGUUGUUCCACCGUGUGUGUUGUCUAAAGGCGGUGAUGUCAUGUCACGCCCGACGUCGUUCGACCGUGUGUGCUGUCCUACGGCGGUGAUGUCAUGCCACACCCGACAUUGCCGACGGUGCAAGCAGUUCAAGGGCGGUGAUGUCAUGCCACGCUCAACAUAGUUUGACUGUUUGUUCUGCCUUAAGGCGAUGAUGACAUGCCACACUCGCCGUUGUUCGACCGUGUGUGCCUACCCCAAGGCGGUGAUGUCAUGCCACGCUUGACGUCGUUCGAUUGUCUGUGUUGUCCAAAGGCGGUGAUGUCAUGCCAUGCCUGACGUCGUUCGACCUUGUUUGUCGUUCAACGGCUAUGAUGGCACGCCACGCCCGACUUCGUUCGACCGUGUGUGGUGUCUAAGGGCCAUGACGGCAUGCCAAGCUUGACGUCGUUCGAUCGUGUGUGCUGCCUAAAGGCGAUGAUGGCAUUCCACGCCCGACGUCGUCCAACCGUGUUUCCAUUCAUGGGCUGUGAUGGCAUGCCAUGCCGACAUCAUUCGACCGUGUGUGCUUCCCAAAGGCGAUGAUGGCAUGCCAUGCCUGACGUCGUUCGACCGUGUGUUCUGUCCAAAGGCGGUGAUGUUAUGCCAUGCUCGACGUAGUCCGACCGUGUGUGCUGCCCACGGACGGUGAUGUCAUGCCAUCCCUGAUGUCGUCUGUCCAUGCGUGCUGUCCAAUAGCAGCGAUGUCAUGCCACGCCCGACGUUGCCGUCUGUGUGUGCUGUCCAAAGGAGGUGAUGUCAUACCACACUUGAUGUCGUCUGACCGUGUGUGCAGUUCAAGGGCAAUGAUGUCAUGCCAUGCCACGCGUCGUUCUACCGUGUGUGUUGUCCAAAGGUUGUGAUGUCAUGCCACGCCCGACGUAGUCCGACCAAGCGUGCAGUCCAAGAGCGGUGAUCUCAUACCACGCCCGACGUCGUCAUACCUUGUAUGUUGUCCAAGGGCAGUGAUGGCAUGCCACGCCUGACGUCAUCCAACCAUGUGUGCUGUCCAAGGGCGGUGAUGGCAUGCCACGCCAGACGUCGUCUGACCGUCUGUGCUGCCCAAAAGAGAUGAUAGCAUGCCACGCCCGACGUCGUCCUUCCUUGUGGGUUGUCCUUAGGCUUUGAUGGCAUGCCACGCUCUACGUUGUUUGAGUGUGUUUCCCGUCCAAGGGCGAUGAUGGCAUGCCACGCCUGACACCGUCCGACUGUGUCAGCUAGUCCAAAGCCGAUGAUGGCAUGCCACGCCUGACGUCAUUCAACCUUGUUUGCCGUUCAAGGGAUAUGAUGGCAUGCCACGCGCGACUUCGUUCGACAGUGUGUACUGUCUAAAGGCGGUGAUGGCAUGUAAAGCCCGACGUCGUUUUACUGUGUGUGCUGCCCAAAGGCGGUGAUGCCAUACUACGCCCAACGUCUUUCGACCGUGUGUGCUUCCCAAAGGCAAGAUGGCAUGCCACGCCCGACGUCAUUCGACCGUGUAUGUUGUCCAAAGGCGGUGAUGGCAUGUCACGCCUGAUGUCGUUCGACCGUGUUUACCAUCCAUGGGCUAUUAUGGCAUGCCCCGCCAGACUUCAUUCGAUCGUGUGUGCUGCCCAAAGGCGAUGAUGGCAUGUCACGCUCGACGUUGUUCGACCGUGUGUGUUGUACAAAGGCGGUGAUGUCAUGCCACGCCUGACGUAGUCCAACCGUGUGUGUUGCCCAAGGGCGGUGAUGUUAUGCCAUGCCUGACGUCGUCCGACCGUGUGCUGUCCUAUGGCGGUGAUGUCAUGCCACGCCCUACGUUGCCGAUUGUCUGUGCUGUCCAAGGGUGGUGAUGUCAUGCCACGCCCGACGUCGUUUGACCGUGCGUGCCGUCCAAGGGCGGUGAUGUCAUGCCACGCCCGACGUUGUUCGACCGUGUGUGCUUCCCAAAUGAAAGAUGGCAUGCCACGCCCGACGUCGUUCGACUGUGUGUGCUUUCCAAAAGCGGUGAUGGCAUGUCUCACUCGACGUUGUUCGACCGUGUGCGCUGUCCAAAGGAGGUGAUGACAUGCCACGCCCGACGGCUUUCGACUGUGUGUGCUACCCAAAGGCGAUAAUGGAAUGCCACACUCGACAUCAUUUGACGUGUGUGCUGUCCAAAGGCGAUGAUGGCAUGCCACGCCCGACGUCAUUCGACCGUGUGUGCUGUACAAAGGCAGUGAUGUCAUGCACGCCUGACGUAGUCCAACCGUGUGUGUUGCCCAAGGGCGGUGAUGUUAUGCCAUGCCUGACGUCGUCCGACCGUGUGCUGUCCUAUGGCGGUGAUGUCAUGCCACGCCCUACGUUGCCGAUUGUCUGUGCUGUCCAAGGGUGGUGAUGUCAUGCCACGCCCGACGUCGUUUGACCGUGCGUGCCGUCCAAGGGCGGUGAUGUCAUGCCACGCCCGACGUUGUUCGACCGUGUGUGCUUCCCAAAUGAAAGAUGGCAUGCCACGCCCGACGUCGUUCGACUGUGUGUGCUUUCCAAAAGCGGUGAUGGCAUGUCUCACUCGACGUUGUUCGACCGUGUGCGCUGUCCAAAGGAGGUGAUGACAUGCNNNNNNNNNNNNNNNNNNNNNNNNNNNNNNNNNNNNNNNNNNNNNNNNNNNNNNNNNNNNNNNNNNNNNNNNNNNNNNNNNNNNNNNNNNNNNNNNNNNNCGUGUGUGCUCCCAAAGGUGAUGAUGGAAUGUCACGCCCGACGUCGUUCGAUGUGUGUGCUGUCAAAAGGCAGUGAUGGCAUGUAACACCCGACGUCAUUUGACCGUGUGUGCUGUCGGUCCAAAGACGGUGAUAUCAUUUCAUGCCCGACAUCUUUCGACCGUGUGUGCGGCCCAAAGGCGAUGUUGGCAUGCCCUACCUGACGUCGUUCGACCGUGUGUGCUGUCCAAAGGCGUGAUGGCAUGUCACGCCUGACGUUGUUCGACCGUGUUUGCCAUCCAUAGGCUAUGAUGGCAUGGCACGCCUGACGUCGUUCGACGACCGUGUGUGCUGCCCAAAGGCGAUGAUGGCAGGCAACGCCCGACGUCUUUCGACGUGUGUGCUAUCCUAAGGCGGUGAUGUCAUGCUACGCCCGACGUAGUCCUACUGUGUGUGUUGUCCAAGGGCGGUGAUGGCAUGCCACGCCCAACGUCAUCCGACCAUGUGUGUUGUCCAGGGCGGUGAUGGCAUGCCACGCCCGACGUCAUUCGGUCGUCUGUGGUGCCCAAAGGCGAUGAUAGCAUGACACGCCCAACGUCAAUCCUUCCGUGUGUGCUGUCCCUAGGCGUUGAUGGCAUGCCUUGCUCUAUGUCGUUCGAACCGUUAUUUCCCGUCCAAGGGCGAUGAUGGCAUGCCACGCCCAGCACCGUCCGAUUGUGUCAGCUAGUCCAAAGGCGAUGAUGGCAUGCCACGCCCGACGUCGUUCAACCUUGUUUGCCAUUCAAACGCUAUGAUGGCAUGCCACGCCAGACUUCGUUCGGUCAUGUGUGGUGUCCAAGGGCCAUGCACGGCAUGCCUUGCCCGACGUCGUUCAGCCGUGUGUGCUGCCCAAAGAUGAUGAUGGCAUUGCACGCCCGACGUUGUGGCGACCAUGUUUUCCGUCCAUGGGCUAUGAUGGAAUGCCACGCCCGACAUCAUUCGACCGUGUGGUGCUGCACAAAGGCGGUGAUGUGCAUGGCACGCUCGACGUAGUACGACCGUGUGUGCUGCCCAAGGGCGGUGAUGUCAUGCCAUGCCCGAUGUCGUCAACACCGUGUGUGCUGUCUAAGGGCGGUGAUGUCAUGCCACGCCUGACGUUGCCAAUUGUGUGUGCUAUCCAGGGUGGUGAAUGUCAUGCCACGCCCGACGUCGUUCGAGCGUGCUUGCCGUCCAAGGGCGGGCAUGUCAUGCCACGCCUAACGUCGUUCGACUGUGUGUGCUGUCGAAGGGGGGUGAUGUCAUGCCACGCCCAACGUCAUCCAAUCGUGCAUGCAUUCCUAGGGGCGUUGAUUUCAUGCUACGCCGACGUCGUUUGACCUUUUGUGCUGCCCAAAGAUGAUGAUGGCAUGCACGCCCGACGUCGUUCCACCGUGUGUGCUGUCCAAAGGCGGUGAUGGCAUGUCACGCCCGACGUCGUUCGACUUGUGUGCUGUCCAAUGGCGAUGAUAUCAUGCACGCCAACGUAAUUCGACUGUGUGCUUCUUCCCAAAGACGAUGACAGCAUGCCAUGCCGGGCCCGACGAUGUUCGACCGUGUGUGCUGUCCAAAGGCGGUGAUGGCAUGUCACGCCUGACGUCGUUCACCCGUGUGUGCUAUCUAAAGGCGGUGAUGUCAUGUCACGCCUGAGGUCAUUUGACUGCGUUUUCCAUUCAAGGGCUAUGAUGGCAUGUCACGCCCGAAGGUCGUUCGACCGUGUGUGCUGCUGCCCAAAGGCAAUGAUGGAUGCGACGCUUGACGUCGUUCCAUCGUGUGUGCUGUCAAGGCGGUGAUGUCAUGCCACGCCCGACGUCGUUCGACCAUGUGUGCUGCCCAAAGGCGAUGAUGGCAAGCCACGCCCGACGUCGUUCGAUCGUGUGUGCUUCCCAAAGGCGAUGAAUGGCAUGCCACGCCCGACGUCGUUCGACCGUGUGUGCUGUCCAAAGGCGGUGGUGGCAUCUCACGUCCGACAAUCGUUCGACCGUGUGUGCUGUCCAAAGGUCGUGAUGUCAUGCCACACCUGACAUCAUUCGACCGUGUUGCUGCCCAAAGGUGAUGAUGGCAUGGCCAAGCCGACGUCGUUCGACCAUGUGUGCUUCCAAAGGCGGUGAUGGCAUGUCACGCCUGACGUCGUAAAACCGUGUUUGUCGUCCAAGGGCUAUGAUGGCAUGCCACGCCCGACGUCGUUCUAAAAUCUAAGCCGGUGUUCUACCCAAAGGCAAUGAUGGCAUGCCACGCUGACGUCGUUCGAGCGUGUGUGCUGCCCAAAGACGGUGAUGUCAGGCCAUGGUCGACGCACUCCGACCGUGUGUGCUAACCCAAGGGCGGUGAUGUCAUGCCACGCCCGACAUCGUCCGACCUUGUGUCCAGGGCGGUGAUGUCAUGUCACGCCCACAUUGCCUGACCGUGUGUGCAGUCCAAGGGCAGUGAUGUCAUGCCACGCCCGACGUUGCCGACCGUGUGUGUUGUCUAAGGGCGGUGAUGUGUGCUUCUACACCCGACAUCGUCUGACCGUGCAUGCAGUCCAAGCGGUGGUGUCAUGCCACGGCCGACGUCGUUCAACCUUGUGUGUGGUCCAAGGGCGGUGAUUGUCAUGCCACGCCCGACGUCGUCCGACCUUGCGUGUGUUUAAGGGUGGUGGUGGUCAUGCCACGCCUGAUGUCGUUCGACUGUGUGUGAUGCCCAAAGGCGAUGAUGGCAUGCCACGCCCGAGAACGUUCAACCGUGUGUGUUUUCCAAGGCCGUGAUGGCAGGUCACGCCUGACGUCGUACGUUGAGAAAGAGAGGUACAGAGUUAGAGAUUAGAGAUAGAGAGUAUAGAGUUGAGAAAGUAGAAGAUGAAUAGAUGAUUUUGUGAUUUAAAAGAAUGAAAUUUUAUGGUUAUUUAUAGGUAAAAAAUGGGUUAAAGUGUAUUUUUAAACUUUAGGGUAUUAAAAAAGUUAGGGUGGGGUAGGGCUCCUAUUGGCUGAAAUUCUACUCAAAUAUCGUUUGGGGCCCACUAGUCAUUACCCUGCGGCUGGUAACAGAUUUUUUUUUAAAAAAAAAUUUUAACCGAACCGGUCUGGUUAUUACCGAAACCGAUAAAUUCUGAUAUUUACCAAUUUCUAUCCCGGUACCUGUACCGAACUGGAAAUUAACGGUGAUUAACGGUACUAACUGGUACUGAACCGGACCGGGACGAACCGGAUUGGAAUCCGGUAAGUACCGGUUCCACUGCCACGUAUUGACAGGAGUAGAGAUUGAUUUUCUAGAUAAUCAUAUGGAAAUGUACAACCCAAAUAUGCACGUUCUAAGGUACAAACACACAUCAGCUUUCACAAAUGAAUAUAAUAUGUAUAAAAUAUUUUUCAACAUUUUUUUUUAAUUUUUAUUUUUUUUUGAAAUUUAGAGAAAUUAGUAAUAAAUAAAUAAAAAAUAGGGAAAAUAUCGAAAAAAAUAUGAAUCAACUCAGAAAAUUCACAAAUAAAUAUGCGAAUAUAAAAUAAAAAUUUAAUAAAUUUAAAUUUUAAAAGGAGAUGUAAAAAAUUAAAAAUCAUAAAAAUAAAUUAUAAAAAUAAUGAUUAAAAGUCAGAGAAAUAUGGAAAUGCUCGAAAACACUUCUAAACAUGUCAAAUUAAUGAUAAGAUAUAUAUUUGCACAAAUAAAAAAUAUUUCAAUAUCGUACGAACUAUAAAAGUAAUGAAAUGAUGCGAAAGAGCCACGUUAGGCGGAAACAUUAGAGAAUAGAUAAUUGAAAGUAGAUGAAUAUGUUUGUGAUGCAAAAAGGUUCUGUCAAAAUCCUUUGAUUUAUGUACGGCAUGAACAUCCACGCCCGACAUUGUCCAACCGUCUGUGCAGCCCAAAGGCGAUGAUAGCACGCCCGAUGUCGUCCUUCCGUGUUUGCUGUCCCAAGGCGUUAAUGGAAUUCCACGCUGUACGUCGUUCGACCGCGUUUCCCAUCCAAGGGCGAUGAUGGCAUGUCACGCCUGAUGCCGUUCGACUGUGUCAGCUAGUCCAAAGGCGAUGAUGGCAUGCCACGCCGGACUUCGUUCGACCAUGUGUGGUGUCCAAGGGCCAUGACGGCAUGCCACGCCCGACGUUGUUCGACCGUGUGUGCUGUCCAAAGGCAAUGAUGGUAUUCCACGCCCGACGUCGUUCGACCAUGUUUGCCGUCCAUGAACUAUGAUGGCAUGCCACACCUGACGUCAUUUGACCGUGUGUGCUGUCCAAAGGCGGUGAUGUCAUGCCAUGCCCGACGUAGUCCUACCGUGUGUGCUGUCCAAGGGCGGUGAUGGAAUGCAAGGCCCGACGUCAUCCGACCGUGUGUGCUAUACAAGGGCGGUGAUGGCAUGCCACGCCCGACAUUUUACGACCGUCCGUGCUUCCCAAAGGCGAUGAUAGCAUGCCACACCCGAUGUCGUUUGACCGUUUGUGCUGCCAUAAGGGGAUAAUGGCAUGCCACGCCUUACUUCGUUUGACAGUGUGUGCUGCCCAAAGGCGGUGACGUCAUGCCACGCCCGACGUCGUUCGACCGUGUGUGUUGUCCCAAAGCGGUGAUGGCAUGUCACGCCCGAUGUCGUUCCACCUAGUGUGCUGUCCAAAGGGGGUGAAGUCAUGUCACGCCCGACGUCGUUCGACAGUGCGUGCUGUCCAAAGGCGGUGAUGUCAUGACACGCCCGACGUUGCUGAUUGUGCAAGCAUUCCAAGGGCGGUGAUGUCAUGCCACGCUCGACGUCGUUUGACCGUUUGUGCUGCUUUAAGGUGAUGAUGGCAUGACAUGCUCGACAUCGUUCGAUCGUGUGUGCUGCCCCGAGGCGCUGAUAUCAUUCCACGCCCGACGUCGUUCGACCGUGUGUGCUGCCCAAAGGCGGUGAUGUCAUGCCAUGCCCGACGUCGUUUGAUCGUGUGUGCUGUCCAAAGGCGGUGAUGGCAUGUCACGCCCGACGUCGUUCCAUCAUGUGUGUUGUCCAAAGGGGGUGAUUUCAUGUAACGCCCGACGUCGUUCGACCGUGUGUGCUGUCCAUAGGCGGUGAUGUCAUGCCACGCCCGACGUUGCCGACUUUGCAAGCAGUCCAAGGGCAGUGAUGUCAUGUCAUGCCCUACGUCGUUCGACCGUGCGUGCAGUCCAAGGGAGGUGAUGCCAUGCCACGCCGACAUCGUCCGACCGUGUGUGUUGUCCAAGGGUGGUGAUGUCAUGCCACGCCCGACGUUGACGACCGUGUGUGUUGUCCUAGGGUGGUGAUGUCAUGCCACGCCCGAUGUUGCCGGCUUUGUGUUGUCCAAGGGCGGUGAUGUCAUGCCACGCCUGACGUCGUUUGAUUGUGCGUGCAGUCCAAGGGCGGUGAUGGCAUGCCACCCCUAACGUCGUUCGACCGUGUUUUCCGUCCAAGGGCGAUGAUGACCUGCCACGCCCGACGCCGUCCGACUAUGUCAGCUAGUUUAAAAGCAAUGAUGGCCUGCAAUGCCCGACGCCGUCCGACUAUGUCAGCUAGUUUAAAAGCGAUGAUGGCAGGCCACACCCGACGUCGUUCGACUGUGUUUGCCGUCCAAGGGCUAUGAUAGCGUGCCACAUUCGACGUCGUUCGACCGUGUGUGUUAUCCAAGGUCCAUGAUGGCAUGCCACACCAGACGUCAUUUGAUCGUGUGUGCUGCCCAAAGGCGAUGAUGGCAUGUCACGCCUGACGUCGUUCGACCGUGUGUGCUGUUCAAAGGCGGUGAUGUCAUGUCACGCCUAACAUCGUUCGACCGUGUGUGUUGCCCGGCGAUGAUGGCAUGCCACGCCCAAAGUCGUUUAACCGUGUUUGCCGUCCAAGGGAGAUAAAGGCAUGCCAAGCCCGACACCAUCCGACUAUGUGAUCUAGUCCAAAGGCGAUGAUGGCAUGCCACGCCCAACGUCGUUCGACUGUGUGUGCUGCCCAAAGGAGAUGAUGGCAUGCCAAACCCGAUGUUGCCGACCGUGUGUGCUGUCCAAGGGCGGUGAUGUCAUGCCACGCCCGACGUUGUCGACCGUGUGUGCUGUCCAAGGGCAGUGAUAUCAUGCCACGCCCGAUGUUGCCGACCGUGUGUGCUGCCCAAGGGCGUUGAUGUCAUGCCACGCCUGACGUAGUCUGACUAUUUGUGCUGUCCAAGGGCGGUGAUGGAAUGCCACGCCCAACGUUGCCGACUAUGUGUUCUGUCCAAGGGAGCUGAUGUCAUGCCACGCCCGACGUUGCCGACCGUGCAUGCAGUCCAAGGGUAGUGAUGUCAUGCCACGCCCGACGUCGUUUGACCGUUUUUGCCUUAAGGUGAUGAUGGCAUGCCACGCCCGAUGUUGUUCGACUGUGUGUGCUACCCAAACGUGAUGAUGGCAUGCCACGCCCAACGUCAAUCAACCGUGUAUGCUGUCCAAAGGCGCUGAUGGCAUGUCACGCCUGACGUCGUUUGACCGUGUGUGUUGUCCAAAGGCGGUGAUGUCAUGCCAUGCCCGACGUCGUUCGACUGUGUGUGCUGCUCAAAGGAGAUGAUUGCAUGCCACGCCGAACGUCGUUCGACCGUGUGUGGUGUCCAAAAGCGGUGAUGGCAUGUCACACCCGAUAUCGUUCCGCCGUGUGUGUUGUCCAAAGGCGGUGAUGUCUUGCCAUGCCCGACGUCGUUCGACCGUGUGUGCUAUCCAAAGGCGGUGAUAGCAUGUCACGCCCAACUUCGUUCCACCGUGUGUGCUGUCCAAAGGCGGUGAUAUCAUGUCACGCCCGACGUCAUUCGACCGUGUGUGCUGUCUAAAGGCGGUGAUGUCAUGCCACGCCCAACAUUGCUGACCGUGCGAGCAGUCCAAGGGCGGUGAUGUCAUGCCACGUUCGACGUUGUUUGAUCGUUUGUGCUGCCUUAAGGCGAUGAUGGCAUGCCACGCUCGACGUUGUUCAACCGUGUGUGCUGCCCCAAGGCGGUGAUGUUAUGCCACGCCUAACGUCGUUCGACCGUGUGUGCUAUCCAAAGGCAGUGAUGUAAUGCAACGCCUGACGUCGUUUGACCGUUUGUGCUGCCUUAAGACGAUGAUGGCUUGCCAUACCCGACGUCGUUUGACCGUGUGUGCUGUCCAAAGGUAGUGAUGGCCUAUUACGCUCGAUGUCAUUCCACCGUGUGUGCUAUCCAAAGGCGGUGAUGUCAUGCCACGCCCGACGUCGUUCGACCGUGUGUGCUUCCCAAAGGCGAUGAUGGCAUGCCACGCCCAACGUCGUUUGACCGUGUGUGCUGUCAAAAGGCAGUGAUGUCAUGCCACGCCUGACGUAGGCUGACCGUGUGUGCUGUCCAAGGGCGGUGAUGUCAUGCCACGCCCGACGUCGUCCGACCGUUCGUGCAGUCCAAGGGUGAUGAUGUCAUGCCACGCCUGACAUCGUUCGACUUUGUGUCCUGUCCAAGGGCUGUGAUGUCAUACCACGCCCAACGUCGUCCGACCGUGUGUGCUGUCCAAGGGCGGUGAUGUCUUGCCACGCCCAAUGUUGACGACUGUGUGUGUUGUCCAAGGGUGGUGACGUCAUGCGACGCCCGACGUUGCCGGCUGUGUGUUGUCCAAGGGUGGUGAUGUCAUGCCACGCCCGACGUCGUCCAAUCGUGCGUGCAGUCAAAGGGCGGUGAUGUCAUGCCAUGCUAGUCGUCGUUCAACCGUGUGUGCUGUCCAAGGGCGGUGAUGUCAUGCCACGCCCGACGUCGUCCGACCGUGUGUGCUGUCCCAGGGCGGUGAUGGCAUUACAUGCCCAAUGUCGUUCGGCCGUGUGUGCUGUCCAAGGGCGGUGAUGGCAUGCCACGCCUGUUCUGCACAGGUGUUGUCUGAUGCCGCUUGGCCGCAAAUGUGCUGCGUACGCAAACCCAUUUUCCCCUUGACAUCUAACUUGGCUUUAAAAAUUGCACCUGACAUCCCGAAAACCUAUAGUGACAUGUCAUUAGUCCCUUAAUAUGUCAUUAGGCUUGAUAAGUGAACUUAACGUCACGAAAACCUCGCAACGGGGCUUAGUUAUCGGACAAGUGUUUGAUUAUCGUAGAACGUAUAGCACGCGAGCCUCUCUUUUGAAAAGUUAGAAAUGAUUGGAUUUGAUUUUGGGGGAGGGGGUGUGUGGGGGGGACGAAUCGGAGCAACAAAGGGCUGAAUCUCAGUGGAUCGUGGCAGCAAGGCCACUCUGCCACUUAAUAAACCCCGUCGUGUAUUUUAGUCGUCUACAAAGGAUUCUACCCGCCUCUCGAUGGAAAUUGUACUUUAAGGCGGUCACCGCGAUGCUUCCAUCGCAGCGACUUAGCCAACGAUACGUGCCCUUGGAGGCCAUAGGCCCCUACUGCGGUUCGGAAAGCGGACGUCGUGUGCAUGUGUCGUUUCUAGCCCGGAUUCUGACUUAGAGGCGUUCAAUCAUAAUCCAGCACACGGUAGCUUCGCACCACUGGCUUUUCAACCAAGUGCGAUGGCCAAUUGUGUGAAUCAACGUUUCCUCUCGUACUAGGUUGAAUUACUAUUACGACACUGCCAUCAGUAGGGUAAAACUCACAUGUCUCACGACGGUCUAAACCCAGCUCACGUUUCCUAUUGGUGAGUGAACAAUCCAACACUUGGUGAAUUCUGCUUCACAAUGAUAGGAAGAGCCGACAUCGAAGGAUCAAAAAGCAAUGUCGCUAUGAACGCUUUUCUGCCACAAGACAGUUAUCCUAGUGGUAACUUUUCUGACACUUCUAGCUUUGAAUUCCAAAGGUCUAAAGGAUCGUUAGGCCAUGCUUAGACGGUUCGUAUUCGUAAUGGAAAUAAAAAUCAAACAAGCUUUUACCCUUCUUUACCACAUGAGAUUUCUGUUCUCGUUGAGCUCAUCUUAGGACACCUGCGUUAUCUUUUAAAAGAUGUGCCGCCCAAGCGAAACUCCCCACCUGACAAUGUCUUCUGCACGGAUCGGCCCGCGAAGUGAGCCUUUGGUCCAAAAAGAGGGGCAGUGCCCCACUUCCGAUUCACGGAAUAAGUAAAAUAACGUUUAAAGUAGUGGUAUUUCACUUUCGCCUUUCGACUCCCACUUAUAUUACACCUCUCAAGUCAUUUGAUAAAGUCGGACUAGAGUCAAGCUCAACAGGGUCUUCUUUCCCCGCUGAUUCUUCUAAGCCCGUUCGCUUGGCUGUGGUUUCGCUGGAUAGUAGACAGGGACAGUGGGAAUCUCGUUAAUCCAUUCAUGCACGUCACUAAUUAGAUUACGAGGCAUUUGGCUACCUUAAGAGAGUCAUAGUUACUCCUGCCGUUUACCCGCGCUUGGUUGAAUUUCUUCACUUUGACAUUCAGAGCACUGUGCAGAAAUCACAUUGCGUAAACAUCCGUUGCGACCAUCGCAAUGCUUUGUUUAAAUUAAACAGUCGGAUUCCCCUUGUCCGUACAAGUUCUGAGUUGUUUGUUCGACACCCGAAGAAGGCCCCGAAGGAACCGUUCCUAGUCCUUCCCCCGUCCGGCACGCGGCAACACGCUCUCGCCGUGGGAGCAGCUCGAGCAGUCCACCGACAGCCGACGGGUUUGGGACUUGGAUCCCCGUGCACAGCCCUCCAAGCCAAUCCUUUUCCCAAAGGUACGGAUCAAUUUUGCCAACUUCCCUUGCCUACAUUGUUCAAUCGACCAGAGGUUGUUCACCUUGGAGACCUGAUGCGGUUAUGAGUACGAUCGGGCAUGGACGGCAUUCGGUCCUCCAGAUUUUCAAGGGCCGCCGUGAGAGCACCGGACACCACACGAUGUGCGGUGCUCUUCGAGCCGCUGGACCCUACCUCAGGGUGAGCCGAUUCCAGGGUGGGAAGGCUGUUAAAUAUAAAAGAUAACUCUUCCCGAGGCUCCCGCCGACAUCUCAGGAUAGGCCCCUAGCCGUACAUGGCCUUACGUGCGGUGCAUGUGGCCCCUAGAGUUAGCCGUAACAGGAGCUCUAGAACUCACCACUCGCAAAAAGCACUGCCGUUUCCACACCAAACGCCAUUAUAAACGGAUCUUGAGAAGUUCCCUCGGCAGCGCACGGUCGCCCCGCAGACGUCGCUGGCAUGUUUUUGUAAGCGCCCAAAGGCAUAGCACGGACGAGCCAUGCAUGUCGUCAAGCGCCCACGCAACACGCCUACUAAGCCCACAUGACGCCCUUGAUGUCUGCCUGCUUUUGCCUCAGUUGCCCUGCAGACGUCGCUGGCAUGUUUUUGUUGACACCCAACGGCGUAGCACGGACAAACCAUGCAUGCCGUCAAGCGCCCGUGCAGCACACCUACUAAGCCCAUAGGACGCCCAUGUCCACCUGCCACCGCCUCAAAUGCCUCGCAGACGUUGCGGGCUCAUUUUGUAAACUCCAAAUGGCGUAGCACGGACGAGCCAUGCAUGCCAUCAAGCGCCCACGCAGCGCGCCUACUAAGCCCACAGGACGCCCUUGACGUUCGCCGUCCUUCACCGCAACCGCCCCGCAAACGUCGCUAGCACAUUUUUGUAGAUGCCCAACGGCGUAGCACGGACGAGCCAUGCAUUGCAUCAAGCACCCACGCAGUACUCCUACUAAGCCAAUAGGACGCCCUUGACGUACUCCUGCCUUUGCCUCACUUGACCCGUAGACAUCGCCGACGUGUUUUUGUAAAUGCCCAACAAUGUAGCACGAACAAGCCAUGCAUGCCAGCAAGCGCCCACGCAACACGCCUACUAAUUCCACAGGAUGCCUAUGCCGUCUGCCUGCCUGCGCCUCAGUCUGCCUCCAACACCUCUACCCCCCUUAUAUGCUUAAAAAAGUUUUACCCAUGUGACAGGAGUAGACAUGGAUUUUCCAGAAAAUCAUAAUGGAAAUGUACAACCCAAAUAUGCACGUUCAAAGGUAGAAACACACAUUAGCUUUCAUAAAUGACUUCAAUAUAUAUAAAAAAAUAUUUUUCAAUAUUAUUUUUAAUUUUUAUUUUUUUUGAAAAUUCUGAAAAAUUAGUAAUAAAUUAAUAAAAAAUAGGGAAAAUUUCAGAAAAAAUAUGAAAUCAACUCCGAAAGUUCACAAAUAAAUAUGGGAACCUUAAAAUAAAAAAUUUAAUAUAUUUUAGUUUUUAAAAGGAGACGUAAAAAAUUAAAAAGCGUAAAAAAAAAUUAUAAAAUAAUGAUUAAAUGUCGGAAAAAUAUAGAAAUGCUCGAAAACACUUCUAAACAUGUCAAAUUAAUGAUAAAAUAUAAAUUUGCACAAAUAAAAGAUGUUUCAAUAUCAUACGAACUAUAAAAGUAAUAAAAAUGAUGCAAAAGAGCCACGUUUGGUGGAAACGUUAGAGAAUAGAUAAUGGAAAGUCGAUGAAUAUGUUUGUUAUUCAUGGAGGUUGUAUUGAAAUCCUUUGAUUUAUGUACGACAUGAACAUCUGCAUCUAUCGUUUAGAACUCAAACAAUGUCGCGCAAGCCAAGACCGAUGCUGGCAGGCCACGGCUGACCAUUGUGUGCAGGCACGUCCGACGAUGGCCGACCAUUUGUGCUUUCCAAGGGAUAUGAUGGCAUGCCACGCCCGACGACGGCCGACCGUCUGUGCUGUCCAAGGGCGAUGAUGGCAAGCCACGCCCGACGCAGUCUUACCAUCUGUGCUGCCCAAGGGCGAAGAUGGCAUGCCACGCCCGGCGUCGCCCGACCGUGUCAGCUAGUCCAAAGGCAAUGAUGGCAUGCGAUGCCCGAUAUCAUCCGACCGUGUCAGCUAGUCCAAAGGCGAUGAUGGCAUGCCACGUCCGACGUUGUCCGACCGUGUGUGCUAUCCAAGGGCUAUAAUGGCAUGCCACGCCCGACGACGGCAGACCCUCCGCGCCCUCCUACUCAUCGGGGCCUGGCACUUGCCCUGACGAUCAGGUGUAGAUCGCGCGCUUAAGCUCCAUCCAUUUUCGUGGCUAGUUGAUUCGGCAGGCGAGUUGUUACACACUCCUUAGCGGAUUUCGACUUCCAUGACCACCGUCCUGCUGUCUUAAUUGACCUACACCCUUUGUGGGAUCUUGGUUAGCGCGUAGUUUGGCACCAUAACCCGGCUUCCAAUUCAUCCUGCAUCACAAAUUCUGCUUACCAAAAAUAGCGCACUUGGAGCUCUUGAUUCCGUGGCGCGACUCAACAAAGCAGUCGCAUCAUCCUACCUAUUUAAAGUUUGAGAAUAGGUCGAGGGCGUUACGCCUCCAAGGCCUCUAAUCAUUGGCUUUACCCGAUAGAACUCGCAUGCGAGCUCCAGCUAUACUCAAGGAAACUUUAGACGGAACCAGCUAUUAUACGGUUCGAUUAGUCUUUCGCCCCUAUACCAAAGUCAGACGAUCGAUUUGCACGUCAGUAUGGCUGCGGGCCUCCACCAGAGUUUCCUCUGGCUUUACCCCGCUCAGGCAUAGUUCACCAUCUUUCGGGUCCCGACAGGUAUGCUAACAGUCGAACCCUUCUCAGAAGAUCAGGGUCGGCCGGCGGUGCACCCCUCAGGGGGAUCCAAUCAAUCAGCUUCCUUACGCCUUACGGGUUUACUCGACCGUUGACUCGCACACAUGUCAGAUUCCUUGGUCCGUGUUCCAAGACGGGUCAAAUAGGGAGCCCACAAGCCAGCGUCCGGAGCGCGCAGAUGCCGAAGCACGCCGGAGGCGCACACUGCCUUCCACAAUCGGGGAGACGGCGUUCCAUGGUCGUAUCGAGAGCCCGAGCUUUGUCCUUCCCCCAAUCCACGUUGGUCCACGCCCCGAGACGAUCGACAGACCGGCUCGUCACCGUUCCACAUCCGAUCGUGGCGCAUCACCGGCCUCCAUCCGCUUCCCUCCCGAUAAUUUCAAGAACUCUUUGACUCUCUUUUCAAAUUCCUUUUCAUCUUUCCCUUGCGGUAGUUGUUCGCUAUCGGUCUCUCGCAAGUAUUUAGCAUUGGACGGAAUUCACCCUCCGAUUUAGGCUGCAUUCCAAAACAACCCAACUCGUAGACAGAGCCUCGUGGUGCGACAUGGUCCGGGCACGACAGGGAUCUCACCUUGUCCGGCCCCCCUUCCAGGUGACAUGGGCCCGAUCCGCCGCUGAAGACGCUUCUCCAAACUACAAUUCGGACAACAAAGACGCCUGAUUCUGAGGCUGGGUUGUUCCCGGUUUGCUCGCCGUUAUUAGGGGAAUCCUUGUAAGUUUCUUUUCCUCCGCUUAUUGAUAUGCUUACACUCAGCGGGUAAUGCCGCCUGACCUGGGUCGCGGUCGGAGCGCCUGGUGAGGCGCAGUGAGGGUCGGGGAGUCCAGACGCGCAACGGGCUGUAGUCGCGACAACUAGAGAGAAUUGAGUUUCAACAACCCCUUGCCGCGACGUCCGUCGACGUGGACUCACAUUUAGGCCGGGCGCACGGGAGGCCAGCUUUCUCCCCCGCGCUCAGCCUUGCGACGUGCUGGGGAGGGCAACGCGAUGCGUGACGCCCAUGCAGACGUGCCCUCGGCCAAAUGGCUUCAGGCACAACUUGCAUUCAAAGACUCGAUGGUUCACGAGAUUCUGCAAUUCACACCAAGCAUCGCAUUUCGCUACCUUCUUCAUCGAUGCGAGAGCCGAGAUAUUAGUUGUCAAGAGUCGUUUGUGUUAUCAGCGCAGCGCGCAUCCCCCCAUGAUCCGUGAACAAGGCACGAGGGGAGGGCUGUCGAUUGUUGUAUUCCUUGGCGCUUUCUGCUCCAGGGUUCGGUGGUCGCCCAAAGAGCUUGAGCGCGUUGGGCGACAAGAGGGAGGCGCGCAACGAGCAUGCGCCUCCCCCAGGUGUUUAAAACGAGUUCGCAGGUCGUUUUGCUGUGCAGGUUUUGACAAUGAUCCUUCCGCAGGUUUACCUAUGGAAACCUUGUUACUACUUCUCCUUCCUCUAAAUAAUAAGGUUCAAUGGACUUCUCGCGACGUCGCGGGCAGUGAACCGCCCAUGUCGCCGCGAUCUGAACAUUUCACCGAAUCAUUCAAUCGGUAGGAGCAACGGGCGGUGUGUACAAAGGGCAGGGAUGUAGUUAACACGAGCUGAUGACUCGCGCUUACUAGGAAUUCCUCGUUGAAGACCAAUAAAUGCAAUGAUAUAUCCCUAUCAUGAUGAAAUUUCAAAGAUUACCCGGGCUUGUCGGCCAAGGCUAUAAGCUCAUUGAAUAAUCAGUGUAGCGCGCGUGGCGGCCCAUAACAUCUAAGGGCAUCACCGACCUGUUAUUGCCUCAAACAUCCGCGGCCUAAAAUGUCGUAGUCCCUCUAAGAAGCUGGCCGCGAAGGGAUACCUCCGCAUAGCUAGUUAGCAUGAUGAGGUCUAGUUCGUUAACGGAAUUAACCAGACAAAUCGCUUCACCAACUAAGAACGGCCAUGCACCACCAUCCGUAGAAUCAAGAAAGAGCUCUCACUCUGUUAAUCCUUACUAUGUUUGGGACCUAGUAAGUUUUCCCCGUGUUGAGUCAAAUAAAGCCGCAGGCUCCACUCCUAGUGGUGCCCUUCCAUCAAUACCUUUAAGUUUCAGCCUUGCAACCAUACUCCCCCCGGAACCUAAAAACUUUGAUUUCUCAUAAGGUGGCGACAGAGUCCUAAAUGCAACAUCCGUCCAUCCCUAGUCGACAUCAUUUAUGGUUGAGACUAGGACGGUAUCUGAUCAUCUUCGAGCCCCCAAAUUUCGUUCUUGGUUAAUGAAAAUAUUCUUGGCAAAUGCUUUCGCAGUUGUUCAUCUUUCAUAAAUCCAAGAAUUUCACCUCUGACUAUGAAAUACGAAUGCCCCUGACUGUCCUUGUUAAUCAUUACUCCGAUCCUGAAGGCCAACGUAAUAUGACCGAAAUCCUAUAAUUUUAUCCCAUGCUAAUGUAUACAGAGCAUAGUGUGAUGUCCCGCCAUCCAUCCAGGCAGAACGCCACUCAACCUGGCAGCCAGCAGCAGGUGCAAGGGGGCAGACAGCCCCAGCCGGCCAGCAGGCCAAGGGGUAGGCAGCAGUUGGAGAGGCAGCCGUUACAACAGUUUCAGCUGUUACGGUAGUUACAGUCGUUACAGCUAUUACAGCAGGUAGUGGGGCGGUAGUUACUAGCAUUGAAGAGGCUUGUUCAAGGCCUCUAGGCAUUAGGGCAGACUAUGAGCAUCUAGGAGUCCUUUUUGGAUGACUUAGAAGCAUGUCUUGUAGGCAUAGACAUAGGAACUUGUAUAGUGUAGCAUUUACUAACUCUUAGGCAUUAGAGUAGUAUAAAUAGUAGUUCAUUUUGCUUGUAAAGCAUCCAAUAAUUUCAGCAAGUAAUAGAAGUUCCUUCUUCCAAAAUUCUGUCUACUUCUUAUUUUCUCAGCGAUCCGAGUGAGAGGCUAACUUGAGUUUGCAAGAACGUGCAAGAAUCAUGAGUAAACCGUCAAGUGCCGCACGGAGUAUUGUCCAAAUCAAAAAGUCCGUGACAAUUGGUAUCAGAGCAGGUUUAUCAUAAGAGAAUGACGAACGAAGGAGACGGAAGCGGCACUAGCAACACCCCUAACGCUCAGGUAGUAAAGAAGAACAAGAAAGGGAAGAAGAAGCAGAAGGGAAAUGAACCCAAUCUGCCCAAUCUGCCCGAUCUUCCACCCACUGAUCGUCCACCUACUGAUCUUCCACCAGGCGGUCUUCCAUCAGGAAGUCUUCCACCAGGCGGUCUUCCACCAGGCGGUCUUCCAUCAGGCGGUCUACCACCAGAUUUUCCUCCACCAAGCGAUGGACAAACAUCUUUCUAGCAUAAUAUUGUCGAUCGAAGUGACGACGACGACAGUGAAGAUACCAUCGACAUCACUGUUGGACAUGAAUGGCUAGAAAGCGUCAAGAGGGCAAGGCUAGCUGUUGAGAUUUUAGGCCAGCGCUUGAAUGGGUUGGACGGUGAUGUCAAAGACCUUGAAGAGCACUCCCUUGAGGAAGUUGACGCCAUUCGGAAGGAGUUGGAGGUACACAAGCGGUUUGAUUUAGCAAUGAAGGAAACCAUUACUUCCUUGGAGUUCAGAUUUUUUGACGCCCUUACGACUAUCCAGAAGCUGAAGAACAAGGUUGAAGCUCUCGAAGAAGAGAGGGAGGUUGGAGCAUAAACAUCACUUGGCUAGGAAAGGGAGUCCAGAGUCGAGGUUCCCAAGCCACCAACAUUCAAGGGUGUCUGCGACGCCCUAGAGGUAGGAAAUUUCCUAUGGCACUUGGAAAAUUAUUCCAGGUGUAAUCGGGUCAGGAGCGAUGCAAACAAGAUCAACACUGCCGUGUUGUAUCUUUCCGAUGUAACCAUGUUGUGGUGGAAAUGCAAAGAUGCCGAGAUCAAGAGGGGCCCACGCACCAUCAACACAUGGGAACAAUUCCUUGAGGAAUUCAAGAAAGCUUUCUUCCUCAACAAUGUUGUUUAUGAAAUGAAACGCAAAACUUCGGGAGUUGAAGCAGACGGGAAGUAUUAGGGCAUAUAUGAAAGAGUUCACAAUCUUGACCCUCAAAAUUCCCCAACUCACGGAAGAUGACAUGCUAUUCACUUUCAUGGACGGGCUGCAGAAUAUGGAGAGGACCGAGUUAGAGCGGCGUCAAGUAAAAACCAUUGAUGAAGCCAUCACUCAAGCCAAAACCUUGACAGAUUUCAAACAUGAUCGUUUGGACAAGGCGAAGGGCUAGGAGGCAAGGAGUAGUCAAGAUAAAGGCGGGGGAGACCAUGGCCGAGGCAGAGAACAAUCGACACAUCCCAAGCAGCAAGACAUGCCCAAGCCCGAUGGUAGACGAUUUGAACGUCAGAAGUACUCGGAGAAGCGGACGCGUUCCAGCAAAGGAGACGGGUGCUAUAUAUGCAGCGGACCACACGGUUAUGCCAGGUUCCCAUAGAUGAAGAGCCUUAGUGCCAUCGUCCGUGACCGGAAGGAAAAGAAGGCACAAGACAAGGCGAAAUCGGCGGACACCACUAAGUUGGGCAUGGUUUGAAUCUGUGGAUCCAUAGCCAAACAGGCCGACAACUCGGGGGAUUUCAGUACGCAAUAUAUGGAUAUCUCCAUCAAUGGGCAACCAGUUCGGGCCAUGGUAGAAUCCGGGGCUGAAGCCAACAUCAUGACCAAGACGGCGGCAGAGAAAUUGGGACUGAAAAUUGUUCCAAGUAACAAUCGUCUCAAGACGGUCAACGCCCCACCAACUCCCGUAUGUGGAAUUGCUCAUGGGGUCAGCAUCACUUUAGGACGGUUGAGAGGUAAGACGAAUUUUACCAUAGCUUCUUUUGACAUAUCCAAUGUUAUUCUUGGACAGGAAUUCUUUCAGCGUUGCCACACGAUGAUUGAUCCCUACCUUCAACAACUCAUGGUGAUGGAAGGGGAAGGGUCUUGUAUGGUGCCUCUUGUUAGGGUGCCGAAGAAUGACGGAUAUGCCUAAUUUUCGGCCAUGCAGAUUGUGAAGGGCCUGAAGAAAGGAGCACCAACCUUCUUAGCCACCAUCGCAAGUUCGGGUAAAGACCAUGGUGCUAUGGAGCCAUUGCCACCUAUCAUAGAAACUGUUUUGCAGGAAAACAGUGAUGUGAUGCCGAGGAGCUGCCAAAAACUCUAUCUCCAAGGCGUGAGGUAGACCACAUGAUCGAGUUGGAGGCGGGAGCCAAGCCACCUGCGCUUGCACCUUGUCACAUGGCUCCGCCUGAGUUAGAGGAACUGAGGAAGCAGUUGAAGGAGCUCCUCGAAGAAGGUCACAUUCGUCCAUCCAAGGCACCCUAUGGAGCGCCGCUGUUGUUUCAGAAAAACAAAAGAUGGGUCGAUGCGUCUAUGCAUUGACUACAGGGUGCUCAACAAGAUCACAAUUUGGAACAAGUAUCCAAUCUCGCUGAUCGCAGAUUUGUGUGAUUGUCUUGGAGAGGCCAAGUACUUCACCAAGAUGGAUCUCCGGAAAGGCUACUAUCAAGUGCGCAUUGCAGAGGGGGAUGACCCAAAGAUAGGCUGCGUGACCAGGUAUGGAGCAUUCGAAUGGUUGGUGAUGCCCUUCGGCUUAACCAACGCACCUGCCGCAUUUUUCACGCUGAUGAACAAGAUUUUACAUCCCUACUUGGACCAGUUCGUAGUAGUGUACUUAGAUGACAUAGUCGUCUAUAGUAGCACUUUGCAGGAACAUGUGGAGCACUCUAAGAAGGUCUUCAAAGUCUUGCGGGAGAAUCAGCUUUAUGUCAAGCGGGAGAAGUGCGAGUUCGCCCAACCAAAGUUACACUUCUUGGGCCAUGUGAUCAGCCAAGGUGAACUUCGUAUGGAUGAGGCAAAGGUAAAGGCUAUCCAAGAUUGGGAAGCGCCUACGAAAGUGACCGAGCUACGUUCUUUUCUUGGACGAGCUAUUUUCAAUCACAGAAGAAGAUCACACCAAAGCAGGCUCGUUGGCAGGAUUUCUUGGCAGAAUUUGACUACAACUUGGAGUACAAACCAGGAAGGGGCAAUGUGGUAGCCGAUGCAUUGAGCAGGAAGACUCAUUUAGCGGCCAUCUCCUCAGUCUGUAGUGAAUUCCAAGGCGCAAUCAAAGAUGGUAUGCAACGCGAUCCGGAAGCCAAGAAGAUUAUGCAGCUGGCUGCUAAAGGCCAAACCAAACGAUUUUGGGUAGAAGAUUGAUUCUUGCUUACAACUGGCCAGAGGAUUUAUGUACCAAAGUUCGGAUUCAUCAGGCGGUGAAUUAUCAAAGAAAGCCACGACACUACGUGGGCUGGACAUCCAGGACAGAAGAGAAUGAGGGCAUUAGUGGAGGCCUUCUAUUUCUGGCCACGAAUGUGGGAAGAGAUCGAGCAGUAUGUGCAGAGUUGUCUUGUGUACCAGCAAGACAAGGUGGAGCAAAAGCAACCAGGAGGGAUUUUGGAGCCAUUACCCAUAGUUGAUCGUCCAUGGGAGAGUAUAUCUAUGGAUUUCAUCACUUCUUUGCCGAAGUCAAACGGGUUUGGCACGAUUAUGGUCGUAGUGGAUAGAUUCUCCAAGUAUGCUAAUUUCAUGCCUACCACAACCGGUUGUACUGCUAAGGAAGUUGAACAAUUUUUUUUCAAAAAUGUUGUUAAGUAUUGGGGGCUGCCGAGGUUCAUCAUUAGCGAUCGGGAUCCUCGUUUCACAGGGAACUUUUGGAGUGAACUCUUUGAAAUUCUUGGUUCAAAACAUCACUUCUCCACAAGUUUCCACCCCCAAACUUAUGGCCAAACUGAACGCGUCAACGCCUUGUUGGAAUGCUAUCUUAGGCACUAUGUAAGUGCACAUCAGAAAGAUUGGGCUAAGAUCCUAGAAAUGGCGCAAUUUUCUUACAAUUUGCAGAGGAGUAAAUCUACAGGGCGCACACCGUUCGAGUUAGCAACAGGCCAGCAACCCCAAACUCCGCACUCACUUCCAACCUGUUUUGAAGGGAAGAGUUUGGGCGCUUACAACCUUGCCAAGGGUUGGGAAGAACAACUCGACCUUGCCAAAUCUUAUUUGGGCAAGGCGGCAAGAAGGAUGAAGAAGUUUACCGACCGCAAGUGUCGUCCCACCAACUACAAAAAAGUUGAUAUGGUUUUGGUAAAGUUUAAUCCGAGGCAGUUUAAGGCACUUAGAGGCAUACAUCACAACUUGGUGCGGAAAUAUGAGGGUCCGUUCAAAAUUGUUGCCAAGGUGGGUAAAAUUUCAUACAAGUUGGAGUUACCUCCACACUUAAGGAUCCACCUGGUCUUUUAUGCACGCGUUCUUAAGCCUUAUCAUAAGGAUAAGGACGAUCCCAGCCGGAACAAAUCACAAUGGGCCCGGCCCCUAUCACCGUUACUGCCUCGCAUGAUCAAGAAAUUGAAGCUAUAAUAUAUUACCAAGCCAAACGGAAACAAGGACAGCAGGCAAGUGCCAUGUUUCUUGUACAUUCUAAGGGACAAACUCUUGAAGAAGCCACUUGGGAGAAGUAUGAAGACUUGUGGCAGUUCAAAGACAAAAUUCAGGAUUUCUUGCAGCAAUGCGUCGCGGUCGUCGCAUCAUUGGAUGGGGGAGAUUGUGACGUCCCGCCAUCCAUCCAGGCAGAACGCCACUCAAUCUGGCAUCCAGCAGCACGCGCAAGGGGCAGACAGCCCAAGCCGGCCAGCAGGCCAAGGGGCAGGCAGCAGUUGGAGAGGCAGCCGUUACAACAGUUUCAGCUGUUACGGCAGUUACAGCCGUUACAGCUGUUACAACAGGUAGUGGGGCGGCAGUUACAAGCAUUGAAGAGGCUUGUUCAAGGCCUCUAGGCGUUAGGGCAGACUAGGAGCAUCUAGGAGUCCUUUUUGAAAGACUUAGAAGCAUGUCUUGUAGGCAUAGACUUAGGAACUUGUAUAGUGUAGCAUUUACUAACUCUUAGGCAUUAGAGUAGUAUAAUAGUAGUUCAUUUUACUUGUAAAGCAUCCAAUAAUUUCAGCAAGUAAUAGAAGUUCCUUCUUCCAAAAUUUUGUCUACUUCUUAUUUUCUUAGCGAUCCAAGUGAGAGGCUAACUUGAGUUUGCAAGAACGUGCAAGAAUCAUGAGUAAACCGUCAAGUGCCACACGGAGUAUUGUCCGAAUCAAAAAGUCCGUGACAGUAGGCUUUCUUUGAGCACUCUAAUUCUUCAAAGUAACAACGUCGGAGGCAUGACCCGGCCAUUAAACGCCAUGAGCGCAUCACCCGACAGAAGGGACGAGAUGACCGGUGCACAUCUAGGGCGGACCAGCCAGCCCAUCCCAAAGUCCAACUACGAGCUUUUUAAUUGCAACAACUUAAAUAUACGCUAUUGGAGAUGGAAUUACUGCGACUGCUUGCACCAGACUUGCCCUCCAAUGGAUCCUCGUUAAGGAAUUUAGAUUGUACUCAUUCUAAUUACAAAACUCAUGGAGCCCAGUAUUGUUAUUUAUUGUCACUACCUCCCCGUGUCAGGAUUGGGUAAUUUGCGCACCUGCUGCCUUCCUUGGAUGUGGUAGCCGUUUCACAGGCUCUCUCUCCGGAAUCGAACCCUAAUUCUCUGUCACCCGUCACCACCAUGAUAGGCCACUAUCCUACCAUCAAAAGUUCAUAGGGCAGAAAUUUGGAUGAUGCGUCGCCGGCACGAUGGCCGUGCGAUCCGUCGAGUUAUUAUGAAUCAUCACAGCAACUGGCGAGGGAAUGCGUGGGAUGCGAAAGCGUCUUUUGGGUUCACCCCGCACAUGAGACUCGAAGGGAGAAAGGUGACCAUUUGUGAGUGCACAAUGCCUAGGCAUUAGGUAUGCAGCACAGGAUUCCGACGUCCGACCAUCCUAGAUUGCACUUCAUCCACCACCGAAUUGGCAUGUGAGUUAAGACAUCGCUUCUCAAAACAGGGAUCCAACCUACCAACAAAUGCCCAAUACCACUGAUGCGCCAUAGAAAAAUAGCUUUGUUAAUGCACGCUCGACAUCCACCCGAUGCCCGACAUGAGAUGUCGUGCGAAGACGCCGAUGCCUUCUUUGCAAGGCCAAUGCUACACCCUCCGUUGCACUCCUGCCCAAGGGAGUUGAGAAUUUAAUCACUGCAAAGAUUGUUGGAGGAAGACCAAGGUUCACACAAGGGAACCGCCCACGACGUCAUUCGACCGUGUGCGCUGUCCAAAGGUGAUGAUAGCAUGCCACGCCCGACGUUGUUUGACCGUGUUUUCCAUUCAAGGGCUAUGAUGGCAUUCCAAGCUCGAAGUCGUUCGACCGUCUAUGCUGCCCAAAGGCGAUGAUUGCAUGCCACGCUAGACGUCGUUCGACCAUGUGUGCUAUCAAAAGGCGGUGAUGUCAUGCCACGCUCGACAUCGUUGGACCAUGUGUACUGCCCAAAGGCUAUGAUUGCAUGCCACGCCCGACGUCGUUCGACCGUGUUUCCAUCCAAGGGCAAUGAUGGCAUGCCAAGCCCGAUGCCGUCCUACUGUGUGAGCUAGUCCAAAGGCGAUGAUGGCAUGCCACGCCCGAAAUUGUUCGAAUGUUUGUGCUGCCCAAAGGCGAUGAUGGCAUGCCACACCUAACAUCGUUCGACCGUGUGUGCUGCCCAAAGGCGAUGAUGGCAUGCCACGCCCGACGUCGUUUGACCGUGUAUGCUGUCCAAAGGCAGUGAUGGCAUCUCACGCCCAACGUCGUUGGACCGUGUGUGCUGUCCAGAGGUGGUUAUGUCAUGCCACGGCUGACGUCGUUUGACCGUGUGUGCUACCCAAAGGCGAUGAUGGCACGCCAAGCCCGACGUUGUUCGAUCAUGUGUGCUUUCCAAAGGCGGUGAUGGCAUGUCACGCCUGACGUCGUAAGACCGUGUUUGUCGUCCAAGGGCUAUGAUGGCAUGCCACACGCGACGUCGUUUUACCGUGAGUUCUGCCCAAAGGCGAUGAUGGCCUGCCACGCCUGACGUCGUUCGAGCGUGUGUGCUGUCCAAAGGUGGUGAUGUCAUGCCAUAGUCGACGCACUCCGACCGUGUGUGCUACCCAAGGGUGGUGAUGUCAUGCGACGCCUGAAAUCGUAUGACCGUGUGUCCAAGGGCAGUGAUGUCAUGCCACGCCCGACGUUGCUGAUUGUGUGUGCUGUCCAAGGGCGGUGAUGUCAUGUCACACCCGACGUUGCUGACCGUGUGUGUUGUCCAAGGGCGGUGAUGUGCUGCCACACCUGACGUCGUCUGACUGUGCAUGCAGUCCAAGCAGUGGUGUCAUGCAACGUCCGACGUCUUUCAACCUUUUGUGCUAUCCAAGGGCGGUGAUGUCAUGCUAUGCCCGACGUCGUCCGACCUUGCGUGUAGUCCAAGGGUGGUAAUGUCAUGCCACGCCUGAUGUUGUCCGACCGUAUAUGCUGUCCAAGGGCGGUAAUGGCAUGCAACGCCCGACAUCGUCCGACCAUGUGUGCUAUUCAAGGGCGGUGAGGCAUGUCACGCCUGACGUCAUUCGGCCAUUUGUGCUGUCCAAAGGCAGUGAUGUCAUGCCACGCCUGAUGUCGUUCGACCCUGUGUGCUGCCCAAAGGCAAUGAUGGCAUGCCACGCCCGACGUCGUUCAACCGUGUGUGCUUUCCAAAGGCCGUGAUCGCAUGUCACUCUUGUCAUUGUACGUUGAGAAAGAGAGUACAGAGUUAGAGAUUAGAGAUAGAGAGUAGAGAGUUGAGAGAGUAGAAGAUGAAUAGAUGAUUUUGUGAUUUAAAAGAAUGAAAUUUAGGGGUAUUUUUUGGUAAAAAAAUGGUUUAAAGUGUAAUUUUUAAAACUUUAGGGUAUUAAAAAAGUUAGGGUGGUGUAGGGAUCCUAUUGGCUGAAAUUCUACUCAAAUAUCGUUGGGGGCCCCACUAGCCUAUACCCGACGGCUGGUAAUGGAUUUAUUUUUUUUUAAAAAAAAUUUAACCGAACCGGUCGGUUAUUACCGAAACCGAUAAAUUUUAGUAGUUACCAAUUUCCGUCCCGGUACCUGUACAGAAACCAUAAAUUAACGGUGAUUAAUGGUACUAACUGGUACUGAACCGGACCGGGACAGACCGGAUUGGAAUCCGGUAAGUACCAGUUCCGCUGCCACGCAUAGACAAGAGUAGACAUUGAUUUUCUAGAGAAUCAUAAUGGAAAUGUACAACCUAAAUAUGCAUGUUCUAAGGUACAAACACACUUCAGCUUUCACAAAUGACUUUAAUAUGUAUAAAAAAUAUUUUUCAACAUUUUUUUUAAUUUUAAUUUUUUUUGAAAAUUCCAAAAAUUAGUAAUAAAUUAAUAAAAACAGGGAAAAUAUCGAAAAAAAUAUGAAAUCAACUCCGAAAAUUCACAAAUAAAUAUGAGAACCUUAAAAUAAAAAAUUUAAUAAAUUUUAAUUUUUAAAAGGAGAUGUAAAAAAUUAAAAAGCGUAAAAAUAAAUUAUAAAAUAAUGAUUAAAAGUUAGAAAAAUACGAAAAUGCUCGAAAACACUUCUAAACAUGUCAAAUUAAUGAUAAGAUAUAUAUUUGCACAAAUAAAAAAUAUUUCAAUAUCGUACAGACUAUAAAAGUAAUGAAAAUGAUGCGAAAGAGCCACGUUAGGCGGAAACAUUAGAAAAUAGAUAAUUGAAAGUAGAUGAAUAUGUUUGGGAUGCAAAAAGGUUCUUUCAAAAUCCUUUGAUUUAUGUACGGCAUGAACAUCCGCAUGUUUCGUCUAGAACUCUUACAAUGUCGCGCAAGCCACGACUGAUGCGGGCAGGACAUGGCCUACCGUUGUGUGCAGGCGCGUCCGACGACGGCCGUCCGUUUGUGUUGUCCAAGGGCUAUGAUGGCAUGCCAUGACCGAAGUCGUCCGACCGUGUAUGCUGCACAAGGGCGAAGAUGGAAUACCACGCCCGACGUUAUCUGACCGUGUUAUCUAUACCAAAGGUGAUGAUGGCAUGCGACGCCCGAUGUCGUCCGACCGUGUCAGCUAGUCCAAUGGCGACGAUGGCAUGACACGCCCAACGUGCUCCGACCGUGUGUGCUGCCCAAGGGCUAUGAUGGCAUGCCACGCCCAACGACGGCUACCGUCUGUGCUGUUCAAAGGCGAUGAUGGCAUGCCACGCCCGACGUCGUCCGACCGUGUGUGCUGUCCAAGGGCAAUGAUGGCAUGCAACGCCCGACGACGGCCGACCAUCUGUGCUGUCCAGCGGUUAUGAUGGCAUGCCACGCCUAACGCUGUCCGACCGUCUGUGCUGCCCAAAGGCGAUGAUGGCAUGCCACGCCUGGCGUCGUCCGACUGUGUGUAUUGUCCAAAGGCGUGAUGGCAUGCCAUGCCGACGUCGUUCGACCGUGUUUGCUGUCAAAGGGAGAUGAUAGCGUGCCACGCCCGACGCCGUCUGAUUGUGUCCGUUAGUCCAAAGGAGAUGAUGGCAUGCCACUCCCGACGUCUUUCUACUGUGUUUUCCGUCCAAGGGCUAUGAUAGCAUGCAACGCCCGACGUUGUUCGACUGUGUGUGCUGUCCAAGGUCCAUGAUGGCAUGCCACGCCGACGUCGUUCGACCGUGUGUGCUGUCCAAAUGCCAUGAUGGCAUGCCACGCCCCAAGGGAGAUGAUGGAAUGCCAUGCCCGACACCGUCCUACUGUGUGAGCUAGUCCCAAGGCGAUGAGGGGAUGCCACGCCUGACGUCGUUCGACCGUUUGUGUUGCCAAAAGGCGAUGAUGGAAAGCAACGCCCUACGUCUUUCGAACGUGUGUGAUACCCAAGGGUGGUGACGUUGCCGACCGUGUGUGCUGUCUAAGGGUUGUGAUGGCAUGCCACGCCCAACGUCGUUCGACCGUGUGUGUUGUCCAAGGGUGGUGAUGUCAUGCCACGUCCGUCCAUGAGUGCAGUCAAAAAGCGGUGAUGUCAUGCAACACCUGACGUCGUCCGACCGUGUGUGUUUUCCAAGGGCGGUGUUGGUAUGCCACGACCGACAUCAUCUGACCGUGUGUGCUGUCCAAGGGCGGUGAUAGUAUGCCACUUACAACGUCGUUCGAUCGUCUGUGCUGCCCAAAGGCGAUGAUGGCAUGACAAGCCCAACAUCGUCCGACCGUGUGUGGUGUCCUAAGGCAGUGAUGGCAUUCCACGCCCGACGUUGUUCGACCGUGUUUCCUAUCCAAGGGCGAUGAGGGCAUGCCACGCCAGACGUCGUCCAACUGUGUCAGCUAGUCCAAAGGCGAUGAUGGCAUGACACGCCUGACGUCGUUCGAUCGUAUUUGCCGUCUAAGGGCUAUGAUGGCAUGCCAUGCCGGACGUCGUUUGACCGUGUCUGCUGUCAAAGGGCCAUGAUAGCAUGCCACGCCCGACGUCGUUCGACCGUGUUUGCCGUCCAAGGGCUACGAUGGCAUGCCAUGCCAACGUUGUUCGACCGUGUGUGCUGCCCAAAGGCGAUGAUGGCAUGCCAUGCCCGACGUCGUUCGAUCGUGUGUGCUGUCUAAAGGCGGUGAUGUCAUGCCACGCAUGACGUCUUUCGACCGUGUGUGCUACCCAAAGGCGAUGAUGGCAUGCCACGCCUAACGUCGUUCGACCGUAUUUUCCGUCCAAAGCGAUGAUGGCAUGCCACGCCCGACGCCGUCCGACCGUUUCUGCUACCCAACUAUGAUGAUGGCAUGCCACGCCCGAAGUCGUUCGUUCGUGCGUGCAGUCCAAAGGUAGUGAUGGCAUGUCACGCCCGAGGUCAUUCGACCGUGUGUGCAUCCCAAAGGCGAUGCUGGCAUGCCUGACGUCGUUCGACCGUGUGUGCUGCCCAAAGGUCACUAUGGUAUGCAACGCCCGACGUUGUUGACCAUGUGUGUUGUCCAAGUGCGGUGAUGUCAAGCCACGCCUGACAUCGUCCGACCGUGCGUGCUGUCCAAAUGCGUGAUGUCAUGCCACGCCAGACUUCUUUCGACCGUAUGUGCUGCCCAAAGGCGAUGAUUGCAUGCCAAGCCCGACGUCGUUCGACCGUGUAUGCUGUCCAAAGGCGGUGAUGGCAUGUCACGCCUGACGUCGUUCGAUCUUGUUUGCCGUCCAUGGGCUAUGAUGGCAUGCCAUGCCCGACGUCACUCGACCAUUUGUGCUUCCCAAAGGCGAUGAUGGCAUGCCACGCCUGACGUCGGUCGACCGUUUGUGCUGCCCAAAGACGAUGUUGGCAUGUUACGCCCGAUAUCGUUCGACCGUGUAUGCUGUCCAAAGGCGGUGUUGGCAUGUCACGCCCGACGUUGUUUGACCGUGUGUGCUGUCCAAAGGCGGUGAUGUCAUGCCACGGAUGACGUCGUUCGAUCGUGUGUGCUGUCCAAGGGCCAUGAUGGCAUGCCACGCUCGACGUCGUUUGACCGUGUGUGCUGCCCAAAGGUAAUGAUGGCAUGCCACGCCCGACGUCGUUCGACCUUUUGUGCUUCCAAAAGGCGAUGAUGGCAUGCCAUGCCCGACGUAUUUCGACCGUGUGUGCUGCCCAAAGGCGAUGCUGGCAUGCCACGCCCGACGUCUUUUGACCAUGUGUGCUGCCCAUAGGUAAUGCUGGCAUGCCACGCCCGACAUCGUUUGACCGUAUGUGCUUCCCAAAGGUAAUUAUGGCAUGCCACACCCGACGUCGUUCUACCGUUUGUGCUUCCCAAAGGUGAUGAUGGCAUGCCACACCCGACGUCUUUCGACCGUGUGUGAUGCCCAAAUGUGAUGAUGGCGUACCACGCCCGACGUCGUUCGAUCGUGUGUACUACCAUGAUGGCAUGCCACGCCCGAUGUCGUUCGACUGUGUGUGUUGUCCAAAGGCGGUGAUGGCAUGUCACGCCUGAUGUCAUUCGACCGUGUAUGCUGUCCAAAGGCGGUGUUGUCAUGCCACGCCCGACGUCUUUCGACCAUGUGUGCUGCCCAAAGGCAAUGCUGGCAUUCCACACCCGACGUCGUUCGACCGUAUGUGCUUCCCAAAGGUAAUUAUGGCAUGCCACACCCGACGUCGUUCUACCGUUUGUGCUUCCCAAAGGCGAUGAUGGCAUGCCACACCCGACGUCUUUCGACUGUGUGUGAUGCCCAAAGGUGAUGAUGGCAUGCCACGCCCGACGGCGUUCGACCAUGUGUGCUAUCUAAAGGCAGUGGUGGUAUGUCGUGCCUGACGUCGAUCGACCGUGUUUGCUGUCCAAAGGCGGUGAUUUCAUGCCAGACCCGACGUCUUUCGACCGUGUGUGUUGCCUAAAGGCGAUGAUGGCAUGCCACGCCAGACAUCGUUCGACCGUAUGUGCUGUUCAAAGGCAGUGAUGGCAUGUCACGCCAGAUGUCGUUCGACCGUAUUUGUCGUCCAUGGGCUAUGAAGGCAUGCCAUGCCCGACGUUGUUCGACCGUGUGUGCUUCCCAAAGGUGAUGAUGGCAUGCCACGCCCGACUUAGUCUGACAGUGUGUGCUGUCCAAGGGCGGUGAUGUCAUUCCACGCCAGAUGUCGUCCUACCGUGCGUGCAGUCUUAGGGCGGUAAUGUUAUGCCACGCCCGACGUCAUCCGACCGUAUGUGCUGUUUAAGAGCGGUGAUAGCAUGCCACUCCAGAUGUCGUCUGACCGUCUGUGCUGCCCAAAGGCGAUGAUGGCAUGACACGCCCGACGUCGUCCGACCGUGUGUGCUGUCCUAAUGCAGUGAUGGCAUGCCACGCCCGACGUCGUUCAACCGUGUUUCCCAUCCAAGGGCGAUGAGGGCAUGCAACGCCGGACGCCGUCCAUCUGUGUCAGCUAGUUCAAAGGCAAUGAUGGCAUGCCACGCCCGACGUUGUUUGACCGUAUUUGCCGUCCAAGGGCUAUGAUGGCAUGCCACGCCAAACGUUGUUCGACCGUGUGUGCUGUCCAAGGGCCAUGAUGGCAUGCCACGCCCGAAGUCGUUUGAUCGUGUUUGCUGUCAAAGGGCUAUGAUGGCAUGCCACGCCGAUGUUGUUCGACCGUGUGUGCUGCCAAAAGGCGAUGAUUGCAUGCCACGCCGACGUCGUUCGAUCGUGUGUGCUGUCCAAAGGCGGUGAUGUAAUGCCACGCCUGACGUCGUUCAACCGUGUGUGCAACCCAAAGGUGAUGAUUGCAUGCCACGCCCGACGUCGUUCGACCGUAUUUGCCAUCCAAAUUGAUGAUGGCAUGCCACACCCGAUGCGAGCUGACCAUUUCUGCUACCCUACUAUGAUGAUGGUAUGCCAAGCCCGAUGUCUUUAAACCGUGCGUGCAGUCCAAAGGCGGUGAUGGCAUGUCACGCCCGAAGUCAUUCGACCGUUUGUGCUGUCCAAAGGCCAUGAUGUCAUGCCAAGACCAACGUCUUUCGACCGUGUGUGCAUCGCAAAGGCGAUGCUGGCAUGCCUGACGUCGUUCGAGCGAGUGUUCUGCCCAAAGGUGAUUAUGGCAUGCAACGCCCGACGUUGUCGAUCGUGUGUGUUGUCCAAGUGUGGUGAUGUCAUGCCAUGCCUGAAAUCGUCCGACCGUGCAUGCUGUCCAAAUGCGAUAAUGUCAUGCCACGCCCGACGUCGUUCGAUCGUGUGUGCGGUCCAAAGGCAGUGAUGGCAUGUCACACCUGAUGUCGUUCGAUCGUGUUUGCCAUCCAUGAGCUAUGAUGGCAUGCCAUGCCCGAUGUCUUUCGAUCGUUUAUGCUGCCCAAAGGCGAUGAUGGCAUGCCAUGCCCGACGUCGUUCGACCAUUUGUGCUGCCCAAAGACGAUGUUGGCAUGCCAUGCCCGACGUCGUUCGACCGUGUGUGUUGUCCAAAGGCGGUAAUGGCAUGUCACGCCAGACGUCAUUCGACCGUGUGUGCGGCCCAAAGGCGAUGAUUGCAUGCCACGCCCGACGUCGUUUGACCGUGUGUGCUGUCCAAAGGCGGUGAUGGCAUGUCACGCCUGACGUCGUUUGAUUGUGUUUGCCGUCCAUGGGCUAUGAUGGCAUGCCAUGCCUGACGUCGUUCGACCGUUUGUGCUGCCCAAAGGCGAUGAUGGCAUGCCAUGCCUGACGUCGAUCGACCGUUUGUGCUGCCCAAAGAUGAUGUUGGCAUGUUACGCCCGAUGUCGUUCGACCGUGUAUGCUGUCCAAAGGCGGUGAUGGCAUGUCACGCCCGACGUCGUUCGACCGUGUGUGCUGUCCAAAGGCGGUGAUGUCAUGCCACGCCUUACGUCGUUCAAUCGUGUGCGCUGUCCAAGGGCCAUGAUGGCAUGCCACGAUCGACGUCGUUCGACUGUGUGUGCUGCCCAAAGGUAAUGAUGGCAUGCCCCGCCCGACGUUGUUCGAACUUUUGUGCUCCCAAAGGCGAUGAUGGCAUGCCAUGCCCGACGUCUUUCGAUCGUGUGUGCUUCCCAGAGGAGAUGCUGGCAUGCCACGCCCGAUGUUGUUUGACCGUUUGUGCUGCCUAAACGUAAUGAUGGCAUGCCACGCCCGACAACGUUCGACCUUUUGUGCAUUCCAAAGGCGAUGAUGGCAUGCCACGCCCGACGUUGUUCGACCGUGUGUGCUGCCCAAAGGUGAGGACGGCAUACCACGCCCGACGUCGUUCGAUCGUGUGUACUGUCCAAGGGCCAUGAUGGCAUGCCACGCCCGAUGUCGUUUGACUGUGUGUGUUGUCCAACGGCGGUGAUGGCAUGUCAGGCUUGACGUCAUUCGAUCGUGUUUGCCGUCCAUGGGCUAUGAUGGCAUGCCACGCCCAACGUCGUUUCACCGUUUGUGCUGCCCAAAGGCGAUGACAGCAUGUCAUGCCCAACGUCAUUCGAUCGUGUAAGAUGUCCAAAGGCGGUAAUGUCAUGCCACGCCUAACGUCUUUCGACCGUGUGUGCUGCCCAAAGGCAAUGCUGGCAUGCCAUGCCCUGACGUCAUUCGACCGUAUGUGCUGCCCUAAGGUAAUGAUUGCAUGCCACACCCGACGUCGUUCUACUGUUUGUGCUGCCCAAAGGAGAUGAUGGCAUGCCACACCCGACGUCGUUAGACCGUGUGUGAUGCCCAAAAGUGAUGAUGGCAUGCCACGCCCGACGUCGUUCGACCGUGUGUGCUGUCCAAAGGCGGUGAUGGCAUGUCAUGCCCGACGUCAUUCGACCGUGUGUGCUGUCCAAAGACGGUGAUUUCAUGCCAGGCCCGAUGUCUUUCGACCGUGUGUGUUGCCUAAUGGCGAUGAUGGCAUGCCACGCCCGACAUCGUUCGACCGUAUGUGCUGUCCGAAGGCAGUGAUGGCAUGUAACGCAGACGUCGUUCGACCGUGUUUGCCGUCCAUGGGCUAUGAUGGCAUGCCACUCCCAACGUCAUUCGACCGUGUGUGCGGUCCAAAGGCGGUGAUGGCAUGUCAUGCCCGACGUCAUUCGACCGUGUGUGCUGUCCAAAGACGAUGAUUUCAUGCCAGGCCCGACGUCUUUCGACCGUGUGUGUUGCAUAAAGGCGAUGAUGGCAUGCCACGCCCGACAUCGUUCGACCGUAUGUGCUGUCCGAAGGCGGUGAUGGCAUGUCACGCCAGACGUCGUUCGACCGUGUUUGCCGUCCAUGGGCAAUGAUGGCAUGCCACGCCCGACGUCGUUCGACCGUGUGUGCUGCCCAAAGGCGAUGAUGGUAUGACACACCCGACAUCGUUUGACUGUGUGUGCUAUCCAAAGGCAGUGAUGUCAUGCCACGUCCGACGUAGUCCGACCGUGUGUGCUUCCCAAGGGCGGUGAUGUCAUGCCAUGCCAGAUGUCGUCCGACCUUGUGUGCUGUCCAAGGGCGGUGAUGUAAUGCCACGCCCGACGUUGUCGACCAUGUGUGCUGUCCAAGGCCGGUGAUGUCAUGUAAUGCCCGACGCUGUCCGACCGUGCGUGCUGUCCAAGGGCGAUGAUGUCAUGUCAUGCCCGACGUCGUUCAAUCGUGUGUGCCGUCGAAGGGCGGUGAUGUCAUUCCACGCCAGAUGUCGUCCGACCAUGCGUGCAGUCCUAGGGCGGUGAUGUCAUGUAACGCCCAACGUCGUUCGACCGUUUCUGCUGCCAAAGGCGAUGAUGGAAUGCCACGCCCGAAGUCGUUCGACCGUGGAUGCUGUCCAAAGGCGGUGAUGCCAUGCCACGCCCAAUGUCGUUCGAUCAUGUGUGCUGCCCAAAGGCGAUGAUGGCAUGCCACGCCUGACGUCGUUAGACCGCGUGUGUUUUCCAAAGAAGGUUAUGGCAUGUCACGCCUGACGUCGUUCGACCGUGUUUGUCGUCCAAGGGAUAUGAUGGCUCGCCACGCCCGACGUCGUUCGACCAUGUCUGCUUCCCAAAGUCGAUGAUGGCAUGCCACGCCCGACGUCGUUCGACCGCGUGUACUAUCCAAAGGCGGUGAUGUAAUGCCACUCCCGACGUAGUAAUACCGUGUGUGCUGCCCAAGGGCGGUGAGGUCAAGCCACGCUCGACGUUGUUUGACCGUGUGUUCUGUCCAAGGCUGGUGAUGUCAUGCCACGCCCAACGUCGUCCGACCGUGCGUGUAGUCUAAGGACGGUGAUGUCAUGCCAUGCACAACGUCAUUCGACUGUGUGUGUUGUCCAAGGGCGGUGAUGUCAUGCCACGCCCGACGUCGUCCGACCUUGCGUGCAGUCCAAAGGCGGUGAUGUCAUGCCACAUCCAACGUCGUCCGACCGUGUGUGAUGUCCAAGGGCGCUGAUGGCAUGCCAUGCCCGAUGUCGUCCGACUGUGUGUGCUGUCCAAGGGCGGAGAUGGCAUGCCACGCCCGACGUUGUUCGACCGUCAAUGCCGUCCAAGGGCGUUUUUUUGCAGUCCAUGCCCAUUCUGCGUAGGCCUUGGCAGAUGCCGCUUGGCCGCGGAUGUGCUGCAUAUGCAGACCCAUUUUCCCCUUGACAUCUAACUUGGCUUUAAAAAUCGCACCCGACAUCUCGAAAACCUUUUAUAGUGACAUAUCAUUAGUCCUUUAACAUGUCAUCAGGCUUGAUAAAUGAACUCACCAUCACGAAAACCUCGCAAUGGGGCUUAGUAUAGGACAAGUGUUUGAUCGUCGUAUAACGCCUAGCUCAACACUUAGCGGUAGACUAGUGAACUUUACGUGCCAUGUUACUUCCGAUACUUAUAUUUCAACAUUUAGUUAUUUUUUCCCCUUCCAAGGAUGCAAGCAACACGCGAACCUCUCAUUUGAAAAGUUAGAAAUGAUUGGAUUUGAUUUUGGGGGAGGGGGAGUGUGGGGGGGAUGAAUAGGAGCGGCAAAGGGCUGAAUCUCAGUAGAUCGUGGUUGUAAGGCCACUCUGCCACUUACAAUACCCCGUCACGUAUUUAAGUCGUCUGCAAAGGAUUCUACCCGCUGCUCCAUGGAAAUUGUACUUCAAGGCGGUCACCGCGACGCUUAUGUUGCGGCGACUUAGCCAACAACACGUGCCCUUGGGGGCCAUAGGCCCCUACUGCGGGUCGGCAAGCGGACGGCGGGCGCAUGCGUCGCUUCUAGUCCGGAUUCUGAUUUAGAGGCGUUGAGUCAUAAUCCAGCACACUGUAGCUUCGCGCCACUGGCUAUUCAAAGGUAAAACUAACAUCUCUCACGACGGUCUAAACCCAGCUCACGUUCCCUAUUAAAGGGUGAAAAAUCAAACAUUUGGUGAAUUAUGCUUCACAGUGACCAAAAGAGCCGAUAUCGAAGGAUCAAAAAGCAACGUCGCUGUGAACGCUUGGCUUUCACAAGCCAGUUAUCCCUGUGGUAACUUUUCUGAAAGCUGUAGCUUUGAAUUCCAAAGGUCUAAAGGAUCGUUAGGCCACGCUUUCACAGUUUGUAUUCAUAUUGGAAAUCAGAAUCAAACGAGCUUUUACCUUUCUCUUACACACGAGAUUUCUUUUCUCGUUGGGCUCAUCUUAGAACACCUGCGUUAUCUUUUAACAGAUGUGCCGCCCCACAAAAACUCCCCACCUGACAAUGUCUCCUUGCCGCGACGUCUGUCGACGUGGACUCACAUUAAGGCCGGGCGCACGGGAAGACAGCUUUCGCCCUCGCGCUCAGCCUUGCAACGUGAAGGGGAGGGCAACGUGAUGCGUGACGCCCAGGCAGACGUGCCCUCGGCAAAAUGGCUUCGGGCGCAACUUGCGUUCAAAGACUCGAUGAUUCACGAGAUUCUGCAAUUCACACCAAGUAUCGAAUUUCGCUACCUUCUUCAUCGAUUCGAGAGUCGAGAUAUUCAUUGUCAAGAGUCGUUUGUGUUAUCAGAGCAGCAUGCAUCCCCCAUGAUCCGUGAACAGGGCACGAGGGGAGGGCUGUCAAUUGUUGUAUUCCUUGGCGCUUUCCGCUCCGGGGUUCGGUGGUCGCCUGAAGAGCUUGAGGGCGUUGGGUGACAGGAGGGAGGCGCGUAACGAGCGAGCGCCUCCCCCAAGUGUUUAAAACGAGUUCGCAGGUCGUUAUGCUGUGCAGGUUUCGACAAUGAUCCUUCCGCAGGUUCACCUAUGAAAACCUUGUUACGACUUCUCCUUCCUCUAAAUGAUAAGGUACAAUGGACUUCUCGCAACGUCGCGGGCAGUGAACCGCCCAUGUCACCGCGAUCCGAACAUUUCACCGGAUCAUUCAAUCAGUAGGAGCGACAGGUGGUGUGUACAAAAUGCUGGGACAUAGUCAACGCGAGCUGAUGACUCGCGCUUACUAGGAAUUCCUCGUUGAAGACCAAUAAAUGCAAUAAUAUAUCCCUAUCACGACGAAAUUUCAAAGAUUACCCUGGCCUGUCGGCCAAGGCUAUAAGCUCGUUGAAUAAUCAGUGUAGCGCACGUGCGGCCCAUAACACCUAAGGGCAUCACAAACCUGUUAUUGCCUCAAACAUCCGCAGCCUAAAAGGUCGUAGUCCCUCUAAGAAGUUGGCCGCGAAGGGAUACCUCCGCAUAGCUAGUUAGCAGGAUGAGGUCUCGUUCGUUAACAGAAUUAACCAGACAAAUCGCAUCACCAACUAAGAACGACCAUGCACCAUCACCCAUAGAAUCAAGAAAGAGCUCUCAGUCCGUCAAUCCUUA